This 62424-nucleotide long non-coding RNA is filed under the name Malus domestica (apple). RNAcentral's name for it is "long non-coding RNA (MDOM_LNC003517)". Lineage: Eukaryota; Viridiplantae; Streptophyta; Magnoliopsida; Rosales; Rosaceae. The record is from RNAcentral.
GAACGUGUUGACUAGAAUGGUCGGAUUGGUUUCUCUUUCCAACAGCUCCAUCUGUUCUUGAAACAACGGGAGGGCGAAAUUGUACGGAUUUGUAUCCACCAUGAAGGAGGGAAGGUCUCGGCUUGUGAAAGAUAAUGGCAAACCUGGUAAUUCUAUUGAACAUGGAAGGACAUUGUUCGUACCAGAACUAGUAUUAUCCCGGAUGAGAUCUUUGUACCCGUUAAAGUAAUAGUAGUAGAUGUCGAAAACCGUGGCUGGCUGAAUCCAAAGCAGCACGCUUGGGAGGUGAAGUUCAUGUGCCAUCCCUGCCGACCAAGGGAGAAGUAAUGAGUAGACUAGGCAAGUGUAAGGGUGACCCUCGUUUGCACUUGCGACUACAAGGUCGGUAAUGGCUUGUACUCCGCGGCGCCGCAGCUCUGACAUGUAGUCGUCGAUGUUGUCGCCGGGCUUAAACCCAUCGUCGUACCCAUCAGAGAAGGGCGCAUAGGUCAAUCCAUCUGGAAUUGAGCCAUUGCCUAUACGGCGAUGGGCUGACAGACUAGUAACGUAGGUGACAUGCGCACCUGUAGUGUUGAUAAGGCGCUUGGCGAAUUGGAGGGAAGGGUUGAUGUGGCCUUGAGCUGGAAAUGUGACGAGUAGAAAGCGGUGUUGCACCAUGGCGGCGUAUGCGAUUGCCGGAGGUGCGCGGUGGAGUGUGGAGUUGUUGGAAGUAGAAUAAGUAGGUAUGUAGUUGAUUGUUGAAAAAUUUGGUACUGUGGGCUUAUAAGCUGAGUGCAGUUGAAAUUCUUGUGGGAGUAUACAUUCAAGGUGGGGAGUGCGGUGAGAGGAUGGCAAGGCUUAAAUGGGGGAUUGGGGGUAGAAAUGUGACGUUUGUGGUGAAAAAUUGAAGACGCUGGAGACAAAUUUGCCAAGAUGAGAAGGAUACUUGUGAUUGUCAAUCCAUGCAUAAUAUAUGGAUAAUGUUAGGGAAACCAUCUAUUUAAAUCAUAUGACGUACUUGUUGAGGAUUGAAUUAUUAUUUAAGUGUUGAUUAACGUGUUUAUUUUCUAUUAGUGACACAUCACUUGAUUUUUAUUUUUUUUUGUUUAUCGUUAGGUAGGAUUUUGAUCAUGAAAAUAAAAGGACAUAGUCAUCUAUUUAGGAUUGUCCAAAGGUUUAUUAAAUUCAAUAUUUGAAACCUGUUCAAGAGGUUUAAUAUUGUCCAAAACCUAGAAGAUAAAUAACUACUGAAUAGGCUUAAAUCUUGAUAGAGUAGAGGGAAAAGAAGAAUGAGGAGGCAAGUACUACGCAAAAUAAAAUCUUCAUCUUGAGAACAAAUAUGUAAAACGAUCGUGCAAAUUUUUAAGAUGCAGACUUCAAGGGCACGUAUUGAUUUGAUAGGUUCAUGACGAAGAAUACAUGAAGGCAUGCACCUGGAUGUGGAGGGUAAUGGACAUUGCUGCGUGUUGGGUAGCUAUAUGAUUGAUUUCGUAGCUAGAGAGAGGAGGAAAAGAAUGUAGAGGUCUCUUGUGGCAGGCAUAAAAGAAGACAACUUAGAAGCAUUGUUCUAAAAAGCGACAUAGGUAGGUACUACGCGGAGGCUGGGUGCCCCGAUUAGGGCUUGUGCGUUUAAAAAAUCAAUGAAGCCUCUAGGCGGUAAUUGGGCGGCUGCUUAGGCGGCCCUGAGCCUACGCAGUCUAAUUUAUUUAUUUAAUUUUUUUUUAAGUUAACGGUUUGAAGAUAAUGUUCUUGUAAAUAACUCUAAAUAUAUAUUUCAUUUUGUGUAUUCAACCAGUUGUAGUCAUUUAUAUGUUUUUAUUGCUAUAAUAAAUUUAAUUAAAAUAAAAAAAAAUAUGUCUAGACCUAGACCUGACAUUCAUGUCGUGUUUUCCGUAUUCGUGUCGUUUUUGUGCCAUACUCGAUAUCUUAACGGGUCGUGUCGUGUAACACCCGUUAAAAUAAACGGGUAAAAUGAUCCGACCCGAAAUCGAUCCGAUAAUAUUAACAGGUAAUAUGACCCGACCUGUUACCCGUUAAGGAAAAUAUAUUUUAAACCAAUAAAUAAUCAAAUGAAAAAACAUAAUACUAAAUAAGUAUAUACAUACCAUAUUGUUACAUCCAAAACAUAAAAACGUAAUUUUCUUUUAAGUAUAUUUUCAAUAACCUAAAGUCUUUAAUAGUUUUUUAAUUAAUGUAGAAGUGUAAAAAAUAUAGAAAAAAAUAUAUAAACGCUCGUAAUAACAAGCUUUACAACUUUCAUGAAGAGCUUAACUUCGAAAUUUGCUACUAUAAUCAUAUAAAUCAUAGAUCAAAAUUUAACCGUUGAUUAUUGUUUACAUUUAUGCUUCAUUGUUCUCAUCAAAUUUUAUUUUUUCAGUUUUUCUUUUUUGAAAACUUGAUCUAUUAGAGGAUGCAGGAAGAUGAACGAUUUGGAUCGUAGAUAUUAUAUUCAGAGUUUUACGUUUAGUGAAAAUAUUGCUUGAUGUUUAUAAAGUUUCUACAAACUAUAUGACAUCAACUCAUAUUUCAGUUGAUUGUAAAUAUCGAAAUGUGAUAUCAAAGAUCUGAACCGUUUAUCUUCUUACAUCCGCCAGAUGAUUAUGUUUCAAAAAAGAAAAUUUUAAAAAUGAAAUUCAAUAAGAAGAAUAAAGCGUAAAUGGCAAUCGACGGUUAAAUAUAAAUUUAAGAUUUAUGAAUUAUAGUGUUGGAUUUCGAAGUUGACCCCUUCAUGAAAGUUGUAAAGUUUGUCACUAUGAGUGAUUGUAUAUUUUUUUUUUUACAUUUUUUUACACUUCUACAAUAAUUAUUAUUAAUUUUAUUAAUUUUGUCCUCAAAUAAAAAACAUUAUUUAUGAAGGUUUGGAGGAUUUUAAAAAUCUAAACGAUAAUGUAAGUGUAACCAUUAUCUACUCGUGGAAGAAUAAUGAUGAAUCAUGAGUGUUUAUAUAUUCUUUCACAUUUUUCAUACUUGUAUGUAUGUCUUCUUAGUUCUUGCCUAUACAAAUACUAUAUUAGUUUAUUUUAAUUUUGGACAACAACAUGUUAAGUAAAAUUUAUCCUAGUAAUGAUAAUAACGAACUCUCAUAAUAAAAAUAAAUAAUGACUAAAACUUUUUUUUUUUAAACUUAUAUAGAAUAAUAAUACAAAACUAUAUAUUUAAUAUAGAAUAUAUUGUAUAUAUUAAUAUGGCUAUUGUAUUUUAUAAUAAAUCUUUUAGUAAUUAAACUUUAAAUUAUCAAAAUAAAUUUUUUCUUAAUGGAUCGAAAUGACCACGUGUUAUCCGCAUGUAUACCCAUUAAGAACCCGUUAUUAAUGGGUUCUUAACGGGUCAUUCGAUAAUGACCCAAUAAGUUAUCGUGUUGACCCGAAACCCGUUAUUUUCGUGUCGUUUUCAUAUCGUGUCAGAAACUGCUGGGUCUAACUAGACCUUGCGACCCCGCCUAGGCCAAUCCCAUUAUUGGUGACUAUUUAGCUCUUCCAGCAUCUACCUGAUAAUAGUAUAAAAUGAAUACUCAGAUAGGGUGCCAUGUGUCAAUGGAUUAGUAGGGUUGGUAUAAGGUAGUUAAAGGUUGUUGAGAUUGUAGUGAUUUAGUGUGCAAGCAAGCUUUGUUAGUUAGAAGAAGAAUAUAUAACAGUUUGUAAGAAUUGUAUUACUCAUUAGAAAAUAUACAAGAAUUCAUUUUCCCUCUAUUUCUCUCUAUUAUCUCUCUCUCUCUCUAAAAACCUUCAUUGUUUUUCUGCAUUACUGCAACAUAAUCUGUUGCUUUACAUGGUAUCAUUCGCCUGUCAAUUUGAUCUUGGAUUUUGUGCUUUUGCCGCUCAAGAUCUUCUCCUUCUUUACUUCUGGAUCUCAUAAUUCUAAAAGUUUCUGAUUUUCUCUCCAUCUUGGUCAUGCACUCUAGGUAUUUGAUCAUAUCUCAUUCAUAAUUCUUCAAAGAAAAGCUACAAUGGUGAUUGCCAAUCAACUACAAUUCGUGCAAUCACCUAUCAUAUCUCUUAUCUCUAUCGUUUCUACGUCUGUUAAUGUCAAGCUCGAUGACUCCAACUAUCUUACUUAGAAUUUUCAGAUCCAGUUGCUACUCGAAAGCCAUGGAAUUAUGGGGUUCUUAGAUGAGUCUAAUCCUUGUCCUGAAAGAUUUGUUUCAUCUGGUUCAGGGGAAUCUAAAGUCGAUUAUAGGGAUUCAUCAUUAAGAAUUGAAACUGAUGCAUACAAGAUUUGGAAAAUGCAUGAUCGUGCCUUGAUGCAACUCAUUACUAUUACAUUAUCUUCAUCAGUUGUGUCUUGUGCUAUUGGAAGCACAAGUGCUCAAGAUUUAUGGAUUCGGCUCAAAGAACAGUUCUCUAUUGUCAAUCGUGCAACUAUAUUCCAAAUGAAAUAUGAGUUGCAAAAUAUCAAGAAAGGCACUGAUUCAAUAUCUCAGUAUUUGCAGAGAAUCAAUGAAGCUUGAGAUUAUUUGGCAGCUGCAGGAGUAUACUUCGAAGAUGAUGAUAUUGCCAUAUUAGCACUUAAUGGCUUACCAGGGGAGUACAAUACUAAAAGAUCUAUCAUUAGAAGUAGAGAAAGUGUUAUCUCUAUCAAAGACUUGAGAUCCCAGUUGCUUGAUGAAGAAGGAAUGGUUGAAAAUACUAUUGUUACUCCAUUUCUCUCUGCAAUGGUUGCCCAGAAUUCUGAGUCCAGUUCCAAGAACUCAUCUAUCUCAUCCUAAGAGUAUUCUGGUAAUCACAAUCAAGGAUUUUCUGGCAAUUCAAGUUAAGGGUAUUCAAGUAAUCAAUCUCAUGGCUUUUCUGGUGGGGGCAAUCAGGCUACCUACUUUGAGAAUAACUAUAACAAGAACAAGGGCAGAGGUAAAUUCAACUAAUUCAACUAUAAUUCUAAUUUUUGCAUACUUCUGUUUUUGGCGUUCUUGGUGCACCUCCAACUUGCCAAAUCCGUGGGAAAUUUGGACAUUUUGCUGAUACAUGUGGAUUUAGAAAUACUAAUAAUGCAUUACUUGAAGGGUGUCAAAUAUAUGGCAAGAAGAACCAUACUGCUCAAUUCUGUUACUUCAUAAAUGCAAAUAUAUCUGGAAAUACUCCUUAGAUGACUGCAAUGCAUGUGGCUUCCUCACAACCUACUCCAAAUUAUAAUGCUUCUUCUUAGCAAUUCUGGCUUACAGACUCAAAAGCAACAAAUCAUUUAACUACUGACUUGCAGAAUCUAUCCUUGUCUACUCUAUUCUCAUCCACAAAGACAAUUCAAACUGCAAAUGGUGCAGGUUUACCAAUAUCACAUAUUGGAUAUUCUCUCAUUCAUACACCUAUGCAACUUUAGAAGCUUAAUUCAGUCCUAUAUGUUCUAAGAAUUACUCAGAAUUUGUUAUCUAUGCAUAGGAUUUGUCUAGAUAAUAAUUGCUGGCUAAUCUUUGAUGCUUUUAAUUUCUAGAUUCAGGACAAACCCACAAAGAGGAUUCUGUACAAGGGGCAAUGCAGUAAUAGGUUAUAUCCAAUACCAAUAUCAAGACAUGUUGCAGUUCAUCAUCAAGCAUUCAAAGCUGCAUUACUUGGAUAACAAGUUAAUUCCAGUUUCUGGCAUAGUAGGCUAGGUCACCUAUCUAAUUCCAUUGCCUUAACUAUACUUAGAAAGUCUAAUAUUUCAGUACCUUUUGAUGUAUCACCUUCACUAUGUCAUUCAUUUUUACAAGGAAAAUUUAGCAAAUUGCCUUUCUCUCCAUAUGUCUCUAAGUCUGUAAUUCCAUUUGAAGUUGUUCAUAGUGAUGUAUUGGGUCUUGCUCCCUGUAAUUCCAUUGAUGGAUAUAGAUACUACGUGACAAUCAUUGAUGAAUGCACUAGAAAUUGUUGGUUAUUCCCUUUGCAUAAUAAAAGUGAAGUGUGUUUUGUAUUCAUUGGUAUAUAUCAGUUCAUUUUCAAUCACUUUGCAGUUUCAAUUAAAACUUUACAAAGUGAUGAAGGGGAAUAUACAAGUAAAGUUUUUCAAUCUUUCUUGUUAGACAAGGGAAUCACUCAUCAAAUAUCAUGUCCUCAUACCCCUAGAACAAAAUGGGUUGGCAAAAAGAAAGCAUAGACACAUUGUUGAAACCUCAAUCCCACUGUUACAAUCUACAUCUUUACCUGCCAUUUUCUGGUCUUUUGCCUGUCAAACUGCAAUAUACCUGGAUGCCAUCAUCAACUUUACACAAUCAAUCACCAUUUGAGGUCUUAUUUUAGUAUGUUCCAGAAGUCCAACAUCUCAGGAUAUUUGGUUGUGCAUGCUUUCCAUUAUUGAAGCCUUAUACCAGUAACAAGUUACAACCAAAAACCAAAAAAUGCAUUUUUCUGGGAUAUGCAUCUAAAUACAAGGGACACAUAUGCUUUGAAAUUAGUUCAAAGAGGGUUUACAUUUCUAGACAUGUCAUAUUUGAUGAGUGUGAUUUUCCAUAUCUUUCACUUUCACAAAAAACAUAUGUACUUCCAACCAGUUCCUUUUCUAAAGCUUCUUUAAAACCAGUGUAUGUCACAAGUGAAUACAAUGUUGUUGUAGCAUUACCAAAUCUAUCUAUGUUUAUUCCUAGCCUUACACCUAGACCUGCUAGUGCCAGUGAUCAAUCUUAAACACCAUCUAAUGUCAGUGGCUUAUUUGAGACACCAUUUGGUAAUGCCACAACAACAAAAGACACAAGACAAGCCAUUACUAGCACUUUACUUCAGUUUAUCUCCUCUACAAUCCCUAUGGCUCCUGAAUUCAACCAGAAAACUUACAAGUUGUUCUGCCUAUACCUCUAUUAAACUUGCAUCCUAUGCAAACAAGGUCAAAGAAUGGAAUUAUAAAGAAGAAAGCUUUUCUAGCCAUGACAUCUAAUAAUGCAUAAGUUGAUUUAUCCCAGAUUGAACCAGUUUCAUAUAAGUCUUCUCUUAAAUCUCCAGUGUGGUUUACGGCUACGGAAGAGGAAGUACAAGCAUUAUACUCUCAGAACAUUUGGUCUUUGGUCACCUUACCAUCAAACAAAAACCUUGUAGGGUGUAAGUGGAUCUUUAAGAUUAAAAGACAUGCAGAUGGAACCAUUUCAAGGUACAAGGCUAGAUUUGUGGAUAAAUGAUUCAAUCAAAAGGCAGGUAUAUAGACUAUGGUGAAACAUUCGAUCUUGUGGUUAAGCUUACUACAGUAAGGCUUGUUCUUGCAUUGGCUACACAUUUUGGUUGGUCUAUGAGACAGCUCGAUGUAAAAAAUGCAUUUCUGCAUGGAAUCUUACAAGAAUAAGUUUAUAUGACACAACCUCUUGGCUUUGUGGAUUCUCUACACUCUACCUCAAUUUGCAAACUUCACAAGUCCUUAUAUGAUUUAAAACAGGCUCUAAGGGCAUGAAAUGAGAGAUUUACUAAUUUCUUACAUUCUCUAGGUUUCCAAACCACUUAUGCAGACACAUCACUGUUUGUCAAACAUGUUGGUUCUGAGGUGAUGAUUCUCUUACUUUAUGUUGAUAAUAUAAUCAUCACAAGGAGUGCAAAUGAUGCCAUAAGAGAAAUCAUUUCUGCAUUAGCAACAAAAUUGAUAUCAAGGAUCUAGGACCUCUACACUACUUUCUUGGCAUUCAAAUUACACAUAAUAAAGAAGGAUUUUUCUGUCUCAACAUAAAUAUGUUAAUGAUUUGUUAACAAAAACAGAAAUGCAUCAAGCAAAGCUCUGUGCUACCCCUUGCUUACCUUAUAACAGACUUCUUAAAGAUGAUUGAGUACCUUUUAACAACCCUGAGUUAUACAGAAGCAUAAUGGGAACUUUGCAGUAUCUCACCUUUACAAGACCUGAUAUUGCAUUCUCUAUGCACCAGGCCUAUCAAUUCAUGCACUGUCCUACGGAAUCACAUUAUUUGGCUAUGAAAAGGAUACUUAGAUACCUCAAAGGUACAUAGAAUUAUGGCAUUCAAUAUGUUAAAGGAGGAUUGGAGUUAAAUGCAUUCAGUGAUGCUGACUGGGCUGGGAUCCCAAUGAUAGAAGAUCCACAACUGGAUUGAAUGUUUUCUUAAGAUACAAUCCAAUAUCUUGGUCUUCAAAGAAACAAAACACAAUGUCUCGUUCAUCCACUGAAGCUGAGUAUAAAGCAAUUGCUACAACAGCUGGUAAGAUUUAUUGGAUAAGACAGUUACUUGCCUUUUUACAAAUCUCAAUCCCAACUCCAUCUACAAUGUUCUGUGACAGUCUUUCAGUUAUUGCCCUUACCUACAAUCCAAUGAUGCAUCAAAGAACAAAGCACAUAGAGAUUGAUGUGCAUUUUGUGCGAGAAAGAGUUGCCAAACAACUAAUUCAAAUGCAUUUUGUAUCUUCCAAUGAAUAAUUUGCUGAUAUUCUGAUUAAAGCAUUAUCCGCACCAUUGUUUCAUACUCAUUGCUACAAUCUCAGGCUCCGUGGUUCCUCUCCUGAGCUUGAGGGAGGAUGAUAAUAGUAUAAGAUGAAUGGUCAGAUAGGGUGCCAUGUGUCAAUGGAUUAGUAUGGUUGGUAUAAGGUAGUUAAAGGUUGUUGAGAUUGUAGUGACUCAGUGUGCAAGAAAGCUUUGUUACUUAGAAGAAUAUAUAACAGUUUGUAAGAAUUGUAUUACUAAUAAGAAAAUAUACAAGAAUUCAUUUUCCCUCUCUCUCUCUCUCUCUCUCUCUAAAAACCUCCAUUAUUGUUCUGCAUUACUGCAACAUAAUAUGUUGGUCUAAACUACCUUGUAUUUUACAUAUUGUUGGCAAUUCUAAACAAAAAGCUUGAGUAUGUAAUGUCUUAGAUUAGUAUAUGUUUUCCGUUGUAAGUAUAUUAAUUUAAAUUUGUCUCUCGUGCUCUCAAUCACAAGAAUGUCAAGCAUUUCCAAGACAUCCACUCAAGUAAGUGUGUCAUGCAUAUGCAUUUACAUAGUAUAGGCUGUUUAGUUUUGGUGUUAACAAUUAAGUUUUGGGCUUGCAUGCAUGUUAAUUAGAAUGACAUGAUUUUAGAUCGGCAGAGAAUCCUAGUUGUGCUGCUUGUCUUAGCAUGUGUUUAUAUGCUGAUAACCCGUAUGUCCUUAUCCCAUUCAGUUUUUUAUCUGGCCAGGAUGAUAGGUCCUCAUCCUACUAAUUAGGUCCGCGUUUUUGUUAUGCCUCGCAUGCAUAUCUGGUUUGGUUGAAAAACCUUAUCUUGGUUAAUAACGUGUGAUUAGGUUUUGGUUGAAAACCUUUUUGUUCUAAGUCAGCACGUUUUUUAUGAAUGUGAAAUAUAUUGCAGAAAUAUAUCAAUUAUUUAUAUGAUCAAAUAUAUCAAAUCAAAUGUAUAAUCACUGUCAAACUUAUGAACUUUAAAUUAGGAAAAAAUGAAUAAGAAUAUCUGGCAUGUGAACCAAAAAGAGGCGCGAUGUCGCUGCCCUAAAGCCGUAUAUGCCUCCCUACAUGUAGGUUAUGGCGGUGCCUACAACUCCAAGAUACAACCCAAAGCCUCACAUGCACGCCAACGGCAGAAGGGAUUGUCAAGUAGUGAUCAAUUGACCAAGAAUUAUGAAGUAGGAAUGAAAAUUGAGAUGUGAAAACUGAGAGAGACAGAAAAGUUUUAGUGUAUUUUGUUUUGUGUCUGAGGUUUCAUAUUUAAAGAACUUCUCAUACCCUUUUAGAAAAGGAUUAUGACUCUUCAAAUAAAACACAACUCUUAAAUAUUAAAAAUAAAUAAAAUAAUAAUAAUAAGUUUUGAAUCUUUAAAAUAAAAUAUUAUUAAAAUAAUUAAAAUAACCAACAAUGAUUUGAUUGGAUGCCUAUAUAUAGGCAUUAGAUUAGGCUUUUAGGCCUCGUUUGGCACGCCGUAUAAGACCACCGGUGUAACAUCCCACAUUGACUAACGGAGAAGGGAUGAUGUGCCUUAUAUGUACAUGCCCACCUCCUAUAGCAUGAGGCUUUUUGGGGCCUCACUGACUUCAGAUUCUAUUGGAACUCAGUAGUUAAGCGAGUUUGGGCAAGAGCAAUCCUAGAAUGGGUGACCCCUAGGAAGUUCUUGCGUGAGUUCCCAGAAACAAAACUGUGAGGGCAUGGCUGGGGUCCAAAACGGACAAUAUCAUGCUUCGACGAAGUCGAGACUGGGAUGUGACAAAAUGGUAUCAGAGCCACUCUACCAUUCGGCGCAAGUGUGCCGACAAGAACGUCGGGCCCCUAAGGGGGGUGGAUUGUAACAUCCCACAUCGACCAACGGAGAGGGGGUGAUGUGCCUUAUAUGUACAUGCCCACCUCCUAUAGCAGGAGGCCUUUUGGGGACUCACUUGCUUUAGAUUCCAUUGGAACUUUGAAGUUAAGCGAGUUCGGGCGAGAGCUUCUCGAGUAGUUCGGGUGAGAGCUUCUCGCGUGAGUUCCCAGAAACAAAACCAUGAGGGCAUGACCAAACAAUAUCGUGCUACGGCGGAAUCGAGACUGGAAUGUGAUAACCAAAUAGUAUUAAUAGUACGAAACAUGUGUUUUGUGAGCUUCAUAUUAAAUAAGCACCGGAUUUUUUAAUCCAGGCCCACUUAUUUUAUACACCUCCAACCCGCUUGUUUAUCCCAACCAAAACCUUUGGAUAAUUAGUCGAGUAGAAUGGCUCUCUUUGCUUACUCCGUCAUUCUCUAUCGCUUCUUCGUCCCUCUCCUUCUCUCGCAACACUCUCCUUCCACUUUUUCACAUCGCCUGCACUCUCUUGUCUGGAUCCCAAGUUCAUCUUCGCCCUUCUUCUUCUUUUCUCUCUUUGUUCCUCCUUCCUCCUUACACACACACACACACACACACACCUCCCACCUACUCCAUUCGCCUUCGAUCUCUGACAAGUGACAACAAAACCUUCCAUAGGUUGAAGGAGGAAGACGAUGAUUCGAAUUCUUCCAAUUUGGAUUCUGACAAAGAAGGGAGCCGGGCUCCGACGAGGACGGGGAUAGCAAUUCGGAUCUGGGCUCUGACGAGGAGCCUGUUGGUUUAUUACCAUUGAAAAUAUUCAAUCUGGGAUUUUAAUUUUGGUUGGUGAAUCGAUGAGUGGGUUUGUAUGGAGGGUGGGAUUUGAUAAGUUAUAGUAAAUAUUUCUGGUAUUAUUUUGGGUAUUUACCAUUUGGAAGAGAAUUACUCCAGCGUGGAACACAGGUUUACUGUCAAAUCUUGUUCUUAUGUUCAAUGCAUCUGGUUCUUUAGCAUGUAUUUUUCGAACUUGUUUCUUCCUGCCAAAUAACAAAAGGCAUGAAAUUUAUUAUGAAUGCUUUGUGAAUGAGUUGCCUUGCUGAGCAUUUUCACAUUAUUGCCUCUUAUUAUGCAGGUUGUGUUGGCAGCUAAUGACUUGCCUUCUAUCAAUGAUGUAACUUACACUGAACUAAUUGAGAUUAUAUCAAUGAUGUAUCUUCCCUUUUCUUAUCUGGUUCAAUAUCAAACACGGUAUAAAUAAUACGAUCAUUAGUCCGAUACUGCACCAAAUGCCCGACUAAUUUAAUCAGUAUUAUCCGUAAUUUAAUCAGUAUUAUCCAGUGGCUAUUUAUCCUAUCCAACAGAAAUAGUCAGUACAUUCCGAGCUGCCAAACGAGGCCUAAGGUUUGCUGCUGCCGCAUAUAACACAUACAGGUAGAGAGGAUUAGUGCACGCGCUAGGUUUUUAGAAGUGAUCAUCAUAUCAUAAUCUUUGCUACUGUAGCGUGCAUUAGACUAGGUGGUUUUGGAAUGCUGCUUUUGAGUUUUGAAAGAAAAUAUACAAAAUAGAUGCAGCACGUGAAUAUGUUUUUGAGUUUUUGGGUUACUUCAUAUAGGAACGGCUAUCGUUUCCAUCUCAUUGUUUUGAUGGUUCUCAGGUCAAUGCAUAUUCACUACAAGUGUAGUCCUUAUUAUUUUAUCUGGGUUGUCUCGCAUAGUAAUAUUUGCACAGAGAACAUUAUACGAGUGUUGCAGCAAUAGUGUGUGAGGAAGAAAAGAGUUUUCAGCCGUGUGGUUUUAAAAGAUAAAAUUCAGUUUUUCUUUAUUGAUUUUCGUUGUGCUUUAAACCGAGACAAAUUAUGAAAAUAUGCUUUGUCAUUUUUGUAAUUGGUUGACUUUCAUAAACCAUUUCAUAUAUACAUUCCAUGAUCGCGUUAGUAUCUUGCAAAGUUCGAGGAGAUAGUUAUUGACGGCCGGGUUAAUGUCGUGCCACUUCCACUCAAAGGCUAAAGAGAGAUUGAGUAGUAAAGCGCAGAGACAAAACUGCCUACUAGUAUGCAUGUUUAGUUGAGUUGAUGAGUUUUGUAAGUCUUUAUGUACUCAUGUGUUUGUCUUGGCUUGGGAGCUCAGGGAUUUUGCCAAUGGUGGCCUCGUUAAAUCCUGUAACGAUCCGUCCCAAAUUUUAUGAAUUUCGAAAUGAGGGUAAAUUGGUAAUUUCACGUGUGGGAGAUAUUUUGCAUGUUUGUCUUUUUUGGGCUUGUUUAGUGUGUCAGUGGGGUCCAUCCCUUUGUUUUGGUCUCCUGGCCCUUUCUCCUUCUUCCCUCUCCCCGUCACUCUCUAUCUCUCAUCUUCAUUCUCUCUCUCUCUCUCUCUCUCUCUCUCUCUCCCUCCCUCAUUCUCUAUGCUCAUCUCUCUACAACUCUCUCUUUCUUUGAACUCACACACAACACCACCUCCACCAUCACUAGCCUCGCCACUCUGGCGAACCCCAUCACCCUGAGGACCUCCCCGUCGUGACCUUGGACCACCAAGGCUCCUCCUCCUCUUUCCCUCUCACUGUACAGUGUCACUGUCACUGUUCAAAAUGUUCUUCGGAGAACUCUUGCCGAUAUCGACAUGGGUAAGCUUUGGAAACACUCUAAACCUUCUCAUUUUGUCGUCGUAGUUCGUUUUUAUUGUUCUUGUGUGUUAUGGAUGUCGAAGCAUCACACAAACAGCUCGGGGAGACUUCCCCAAAUUCCGGCGAGAACCCAAGCCUUCUAGGCCAUUUUCCAGCCAAUUUCGGCCACGGCUGGCCACGACAUAGGUAUAAUAUUCUUCCUUGUUCUUGGGGCUUCAAUUUGGUAUAUUGAAUGACUAGUUUUAAUUGAGAUUUUGGGAUGAAUGGAGCUCUCCAAGCUCCCGCUUUCUUGUUUCUGGAGACCUGCUGAACCACAACCUGAAAACGGGUCGACCUGACCUGCAACCCAAAACCCAAUCCAAAACACUAUUCUGACCCGACUCGAAUUCGAAUGGAAUAUUCUUUGUGUUGAUUUUCCUAGAAUAUUCCUUGUGUUGAUUUUUUGUUGACUUUUACGAAAUUUUCCCGGGACCCCUCCUAGACUAAUUUCGAUGUCCUGAUUCCAAAUCCUCACUCUGUUUUCCCAAAUUCAAUUGUUUAAGUAAAGUUUUACUGAUUAGUCCUUUUAUGUGCUUAGGUACAAUUGUUAGUGACGACCUCGUCCUCUCUAGUUUGAGCGGCUCUUCGGUGACGAAGUAUCUGUGAGUGGACCCCUUCUAAAAUGCACGAUUUUAUUGCUAGAAAUGCAUACAUGAAAAUCAUGAUUAUAACUAUGUUUUAUGAAAUGUUUAUGGGUUAUCCGAACUAUGCUUUAUAAAAUGUCAUGCUUUAUCGGAUUUAUGUUUGUUGAAAUAUUUAUGAAUAUGGUUUUAUGAUAUGAUGUUUGAGUUAUUGAGCUCUGAUGAGAUAUAUUUUGGAAAGAUUAUGUUCAUAAUUUUAUGUGCUUACUUAGUGGAUAUUCAUAUAUAUAUGUGCCUUCGGGCGGGCAAUGUAGUGCCUUCGGACGGAAGAUAUAUGUACUUUCGGACGGACGAUGUAGUGCCUUCGGGCGAUUGUGAUACCACUACUAAGCACACUAUAUAUGAUAUAUGUUUUAAUCCAAGGUUCUAGGGCAUGCUAGUGUUUUCGGAAAAAACCUAUUAUUUAUUAUGCUAUAUGAGUUUCUAAAACUGGGGGUUAGUACAUUUGAAGAGUAGUUGAUUUUAGUAUUACUUAUAUAUAAACUUGGUCCGCUCAUGCUUUGUUUUACGCCUCCUUCAGGACUUAGAAUCGAGGCGUACACUCCCGCAUCUGUAUCUUCGAGUCCUCUUGGUGUAGGACCCAAUCCUUUGUUCGCACCUUUUCAUAAUAUUCCUUCUACAAUAUUCUUGAUUAGUUGUAUGCUUUGAACAUGUUCACACAUUUGCAUAUUCAUUAUAGUUAAGUUUAUGUGUUUUAUUUUACGUUCGUUCUUUCUUCAUAUUUUUACAUGCAUGUUAAUAUGGCUUCGUCACCUUCGGGUGUCGGUCAGAAUGUGUUUAUCUUGGUGUUUGGAGGAUAUUGGGGUCGGGCAUGUCAAAUCCUACAUCUUGUGUGCAUUUUUUAUUUAUCUUUUUAACUGCAUAUGUGUAGGAUAGUUUGAUAAGUGACUGAAAAUUGAAUUGGAUUUUUAAAUUGAAACCUAUUCACCCCCUAGGUAGUACCACCCUAGAACUUGCACAUAUUAUUAUAAAAAAUAGUAUUACUACCAUCUAUUUAUAUAAUCUCUAAUAGAAAUAAGAUAAACAUGUGUUGAUGGGCUCACCUCUAUUAGAGAGAUAAUACAAAUAGAUGGUAAGUAUAUCAAUUAUUAUGGAUUUGGGUUUUGUCCCGUAAGUGAUGUCUAUAAGAUCUAUAAAGUGGUAAUGAUUAGGAAUGCCAGCGGAGAGGUAAUGGUUAUGACUGUUGGUUCCUGGUUUUGGAGAAUAGGGAUUCUGAUUACACUUUGGUGUUUCAAUCAUUAUCGUCUCCUUUUGAUACGUGCCUUUAACCUUGAAAAUGAGCAUUUCCAACAGUUACCACUACCACCUUGUUCUCCGAUUUGAAACGGUCUAGCUUUUUCCUUGGAGUCUUGAAAGAUAGGCUCUCUAUAACUAUGCGCUCGAUGGCUAGUAUCAAUGCUUGAGUGAUGCAGGAGAGUGAUGUCAAGCAGUGGUGGACAAAGGAGCUGGAGAUUCGCGUGAGUCGUCUGGUUUUUGUAUUACUCGAGUAUUGAAGUUUACAGAUGAGGGGCAACCGGGGCAAGUCUUGUCGUUUAACAAGUCUCGCUUAGAGACUAAUACUCGUAGAAGAAAGGGCCCUGUGAGGGUUGAGGACCUUGAGGUGGAUGGGCUACCAUGCGCAGUUGAUACACCUUGCUUUCAUGUUUCAAGCUUUGUUUCGCUUAAAGAUGCCAUGAGGGGUUAGAGCUCGAAGCUAGGUAAGAUAUGCCAAUGCUAGUACUAGUUAUGUUUGUUUUUGCAAUUUUGUGCAAAUUUGGUGGUAAUUUGUUUCCAUUCAAUAUAUUUCAUUUACUUUUUUUUUUUUUGAAUUGUUAUUAGUACUCCAAAAAUCUCAUUCUACACUCAAAACUUUCUAUAUUAGGAAAUAAAAAUACAUUCGUGAGAAGUGUAAAAUGAGAUUUUUGGAGUCCCAAUAACACUUUUUUUUUUUCCUAUAUAGUUUUAUUUUAUUCCAAAGAGAGAAUAAUUGCUAAUGGUGACCGUUGUUGUGCCCACAAUUUGAACGAAUGUUGCGAGAGGAAUGUUGAAAAUUUGCUUAAUUGUGAAAAGCUUUUCUGGUGAGACUUUGAGAAAGCCAUCACGUGGGCUUUGCAAUUUGGUUUUGUACAGUCAAUUCACUUUCUGUUCCUCACAUCACCUUUGUUGGGUGAGAGUUGCUAUCUGCCCAUUACGUGUAACUUUUUACUUCACUUCCUCUUGCAUUUAUUUUGGCUUCUCAAGCAUUCUUGCUGGUGAGUGCAUAUAUUAAUGUGCACCUAGGUAGAGCCGUUCGACAGAUACAGAAAAAGCUAGCGCAGCAAAACCAUUUGGUGAAGAGGAAAAAAGUACUCUCUUGUUCAUCGGUUUUGGGUGCUGUCAACUUUAUUGAAAGAGCCCAAUCAUCUCCUCUUUGUGACUAAAGAUUGUCACACCAUUUGGAGCAAGAAGGAAACCUUUCUUUGGUUUUAGGGGCUGCUGCUCAUCUGAUAAAUUUCUCUCGCUUUUUUGCUUUUGGUGUUUUGCUUCACACUUCCGUAAGAGCUUUUGUAUGUUUGCAGAGCAAGAACUUGAGAAUUGUUCUUGGCACAUCUAUGUGGGAGAGUGACGUGUAUUUGGGUUUUAGGUUGUGAGAGCUUAAACAAUUUUUUAAUCUUUAUUUGAUAAAGAUCGUUUAGAAAGUGGGACUAAUAUUCUCACCGUUUCCUUACUAGACGUAGACUUACACCGAACUAGUAUACGUCCUUGUGUUAAUUGGAUUUCUGUAUUUAUCAUAUUUUACCUUGUUAAAUAUUUGCCUCAUAUCUGAAGCUUCCGCAAAACAAGGGAAACCAUUAUUAAACAUAGAAUAGUUGGCUAUGUUUGUGUAAAUUCAGGGGAGCUGCAGGUUUAAUUUACACAACUAAAAUUAGUUUUGGGUUUUUUUAUUCUAUAUUUAUAGGAGUGCCUAUCCAAAUGGUAUUUGCAAACAAUGAUGAAAUCCUAUAUAUGUCUGUGUUAUGAAACUUGAGUCAGCCAAACAUGAUUUUGUAUAUUUCUUGCUUUUAUGGUGGCAUUAUAUAUACUAACAAAAAUCAUUAACCUUCCUGCAUCUCCCAGGUUUAUUUCUGCAUGUGUUCCUAAAACACUAGAGAUGUAAGAGUGCGAGUUGAAAGAGUUGGUUUCUGAGUUCGAUCAACUUCCUAUAAUAUAUAUAGGGGUGUGAUAUCUACACACCUUAUUUUACUUCUCACACAUUUUUUUUAUUUUCGGCCAUCAGAUUGGAUGAAUUGAAGAAGAUCAACGGACAUAAAUUAUCAAGGGAUGUGUGAGAAGUAAAAUGAGGUGUGUGGAUAGCGGCUCUAGAUUUGCUGUCCCCAAAAAUAUGUCUCGUUUAUGUCUCCUUGCUAAUAUGUUGACACAUGUCAUUUAACUUAACCUAAAACUAACUCUGUUAAUUUUAUUUAUUUAACAUUUAAAUUAAAAAAAUCCCAAAUAAUAAAAAAAAAAACUGUUGGGUUAAUGAGGUGAGCAAAUGAGAGCUGUGAUUCUCUGAGGUCGUUCCCUUUGGGCAUUUUCCCCAACCUUUCAUCUCUUCGUAUAGGAAAUUUUGAGAAUCUGGAAUCUCUUUCAGUUGAAGGAGGAGCAGAUGAAAAUCUCAGCCAUCUCAACUCCCUGGAUAUUUGGGUAUGUCGAAAUCUUGUCUCUUUUCCCGAGGGGGGUUUGCCCACUCCCAACCUCACUUUCUUUGAUGUCUACGACUGCGAGAAUUUGAAGUUGUUGCCGGACCGAAUGCACACCCUCACCGCCCUUCAAACCUUAUUGAUACGCAGUCUUCCAAAUCUUGUCUCUUUUCCUGACGGAGGAUUGCCCACUCCCAACCUGACUUACUUUAAAGUAGGGGAUUGCGUGAAUUUGAAGUUGUUGCCGGACCGAAUGCACACCCUCACCGCCCUUCAACGUUUGGAGAUAUCCAAUCUUCCAAAUGUGGAGACGUUGCUCAAUGAACAGAUGCUCCCUGCCACUCUUCACGCUCUCGAAAUCUCUUAUGCAUCUUAUCUGAAAACUUUGGACGGAAAGAGUUUUGAGCACCUCACUUCUCUUCAACAGCUACAAAUCGAAGGGUGCGAGAGUCUCGAAUUCCUGCCAAAAGAGGGUUUCCGGCAUCUCUUUCUUAUCUGAAGAUCCGGGGUUGUCCUCCUCUGAAGAAGAGGUAUGGGAACAAAAAGGGAAAAGAUUGGAGAAGCAUAGCUCGCAUUCCUUGUAUAGAGAUAGAUGAUGAAAUCACCAUAUGAGCUUUCAUUUCGUUAACCCAACAAUAAUUAAAGUUAACAGAGUUAGUUUUAGGUUAAGUUAAAGGACAUGUGUCAACAUAUUAGCAAGGAGACACAAAAGAGACACUUUUAGGGCCAGCAAAUCUGGAGCUGUGGAUAGCACACAUCUAUAUAUACUUUGAGUUAUAUUGUUGUUUUGUUGGUUAGAAAGGGUUGUAGGUUUCCAUAUGCUUGUGUUUUAUUACGUCCAAAACGUAGGAGCUUUGAGCCAGAAAUGAAGCAUUUGAGAAUUUUCUUCAAGUGUGAUAGGAAACUGAACUUCCUGCUCAGGUGCUGCUAUGCAUUUGGCAUCAUUGGUUGAAAGAUUUAGUGGUACAUCUGUUUCAAUUUUGGCGUAGGUGACUGUACUUAUUAUCAUUUAAGAGAAUAGGGAUCAUCAGAUAUAGUGGUAAAGCCAUAAAUUAUCACAGAAAUGAGCGAAAUUUAAACAGGUAAAAGAGUAUAUGACUGUGAAGACACGUGAUAUUAUGAGCCUCUAGAAACACACGCGAGCGCGCACAAAUAUAUAUAUAUAUAUAUAUAUUUUUUUUUUUUGAACAAACACGUAGACAUAUAUAUGAAACAAUUGAAAAAUGUAAAAAAAUUCGUGAGAAGGAAAAUAAUUAUUUUUUGGGUAAUAACAAAUAUAAAUUAUGAAAAAAAAAAGAGGCUUAUUUAGACCAACUCUGACUCUUAGAGUAAGUCCUAAAAUUUACCUUCUAUUUCCCCUCAAUUUCCUUCCAACCUUAGGCCAAUUUGGGACUAUAGGUUGGGACUAUAGGUUAGAAGCUAAAAUUGGACCAAAUACCGGCCAGAAAAGUGGGCUGGAUUAGUGGUGUGCCCCACUUUUGCGUGUGAACGCGCUCCAAAACUUGGCAGCGCAGCAAGAAUGACACGCCCAUGCACGGAACGCACUGGGAGAUGAGCAGCUGGUGGUCCCAUGCACAUGGAUCUUGUUGGCCACCCAUCAGAGCCCAAUGACUCUUUUUCUCAUCCAAGGGUUGUGCUUCACUGGACCGUUGGAUCCAGGUUCGAAUUUGUGUUUUUUUUUUAGUUUAUAUUUAUAAAUUUAUUAAAUCUAACAGCUGAGAUUGAAUAUAAACCAAAUCUAAUUAUGGAAAAAAAAAUUUUAAAGUUAAAAUUUAAAUCCAACUGCUAAAAUAAUUUAAAAUUUUAUUUAACUCAAAAUUCACUCAAAAACUCUAUAAAUGCCUAUAUAUUUGUUCAAACAUCCACUCAAAAUUCACCUUUCUCCUACAAUUCUUUCAAUUUUUCAUUCUACCAUCUUCCAAAACCAUGUGUUUUGUGUUUAUUCAUCUCUAUCAUGUGUUUCAUAUUCUUCCAUAGUGUUUCAUGAGUUUUAUAUAUUGAUUUAGUGAUUUUUCAAUAUUGAUCGGGAUUUAAAUAUUUUUAGGUUAAAAUGUUCAUAAAAUUAAUUUAUGAUAAUCUACAUAAUUUUUUUAAAGUUAUUUUAAAAAAAUAAAAUGAUUAAAUUUAUUUUUUAAUAGUAUGGGGGUAAAAAUUUAACCCAUAAGGGUUAAAGUAAAAAAACUACUUCUCAAUUAAAACAUAAAUAUUCUGAGCUAAAAAUUUUAUGUUUUAACUCAAAUGUUGAAGAUGCUCUCAAAGGAGGGAGAAGAAACAGGAAAAAAGGGAGGAAGAGAAGGACGGGGAAAAGUGGGUAGGGAAUGCCUCAAACUUAAAAAAACUCAAAAUGGUAAAAUAUCGAGGAUUUGACAGUCCUCGUUCUCACGUUGAGGCAGAGCCAUAGAGAGAGAAGGGUAGAGAGAGGAUGGAGAACCAUAAGCAGAUAGAGAAGGAUGAGUGGGGCCAUGGCAGUGGAGACGGCGAUGUGGCUGUAGUUUGCUGCUCUGUUGCUUCUUCUUUGAAACCGCUUUCCUCUUCUGGUUCUCCACCCCCAAACUCAAGCUUUGAAACUCUGCAAUUCAACUUUCAACUCUGUAAUCGAGAAGAAGAAAGGUAACAAAAGAGAUGAAAGUACCAGAGGGGCGGAUUUAACUCGUAGGGUCAAUUUCUGACGAUUGAAGGUGCGGCCGCACCUCCUUAGAGCUUUGUGGCUUCCCCACUGAUCAGCUAUAGAAUCUGGUGUUCGGUGUUCCACAUAAACCCAAAAGCUAGAAUCUAGCUAUAGGGAUCAUCACAUCACAUAAAGCUCAGUGUGAAUUGGGAAUUUUCCUAGUAGCUAGUGGUAACUAGAGAUUUUGCACGAGAGCCUGAUGUCAGAAUACAAAGAAGUUCUUGUUCACCAUAUGUAUUCUUGAGAGAGAAAGAGAGAUUUGAGAGAAUAGCAAUCUUAGAGAGAGAAAUGAAUUGUAUCUUGUAUGUAUUGAAUUAAUGAAUGUGUUACAAUAUCUACACAUAUAUAUAGACAAGGCUAUCUUAGUCACUAAGUAAGUUAACAAACUUUAACUACCUAGCAACCUAAUCUACGUACACUUGUCAAUAUCUGAAACACCUAAUACAUCUUUACACCUGAUGGUUAUCUUGUUCGUAAUAACCAGCAAAGUUCAUCAUUAAGGUAUAGGGUUUUUAUCACAAAUGGUCCCUGACAUUGAUCAAACACAUCAUUUUGGUCCCUGACAUUGAAAAUCAAUAGAAAUGGUCCCUGACAUUGAUCAAACACAUCACAAAUGGUCCUUCCGUUAAAAACUUUUUGGGCAAUUUUCAAAGCUUCGUAACUCAAUCGUUUCUUAACCAAAUUUGACCCAUGAUAUAUCAAAAUGAAGAUAGGCAAGUGUAGAACAAGAUUAUACCGAUUUGGAAGCUCAAUGGUUGCCGGAGAUGGCCGGAAAGUAGCCUCAAAUGUGAUUAGUCCGCGAAAAAACUGGAAAACUCGCCUGAAAUGGGGUAAACUUUAAACAUUCAUAACUUCUUCAAUACUCAACGAAAUUGAGUGAUUCAAAAAUGAAAAUCAUACGUCUCAACGAGAAAAAGAGAAUGGUACCUUUAUUGACUACUAAUUUACUGUGGUUUGACCAUAAAAUGGCUUGAACUUGGAUAACCAUUUUCGAGUUAGCCAAUUUCGAGUCGUUUUCCGGCCAAACUAUGACAAGUUAGCCAUCAACAAAGAUACCAUUCUCUUAGUCUCGUCUAGAAGUAUGAUUUUUGUUUUUGAAUCACUCGAUUUCGUUGAUUAUUGAAGAAGUUAUGAAUGUUUAAAAUUUAUCCCAUUUCAGGCGAGUUUUCCAAUUUUUUUGCUGACCAGUCACAUUUAAGGCUAUUUUUCGGCCAUCUCCAGCAACCAUUGGGCUUCCAAAUAGGUACAAUCUUGUUCUACAUGUUCCUAUCUUCAUUUUGAUAUAUCAUGGGUCGAAUUUGGUUAAGAAACAAUUGAGUUACGAAGCUUUGAAAAUUGCCCAAAAAGUUUUUAACAGAAUGACCAUUUGUGAUGUGUUUGAUCAAUGUUAGGGACCAUUUCUAUUGAUUUCAAUGUCAGGGACCAAAAUGAUGUGUUUGAUCAAUGUUAGGGACUAUUUGUGAUAAAACCCUUAAGGUAUAUAUGUGUAUUCUCAUAUUAAAAAUAAAAAAUAAAAAAAGUAAAAAAUAGUGAAAGUCAUACAACGGGGUCAUAAAGUAAUUUCUCUUUUACAAAUAUGGUUUUCGAGCCAUUCCAAGCAUUUCUGUUGCAAGUUACAUAUGGCUAUUUGGAAGAAGCAUAAUAAAAUGAAGUUUGAAAGUAAGCUUGCUUCCUUUUCACGUCCUUGUUAUUUUAUUUUGGCCUGAAUUAAGUAGGUUGGAGUUUUCACUCUUGAUCAUGUGCAUGGUAUUUUGGAUAAGCAACUUGGGGUGUCUCUUGUAAUCUCGACUAAGUCCUGUAAACACCUACAAUUUCUGUUCUUUGGCAUCCUCCUCCAUUUUAUAGGGUCAAAGUGAAUAUGAAUGGCCUUGCUAAAAGUAAUCCAAGUUUUGUAGCUUGUGGUGAGGUUUUUCGAGAUUCUGUGGGUUAUUUUCUUGGUGGUUUCUCCUUGAGCUUAAGGCAUUGUACUUCUUUCUAUUCGAAGCUUCAUGUUGCCAUCUUAGUUGUAGAGUUGGAUCACACGCAGGGUUGGCAAGAUUUAUGGCUUGAAAGUAACUCUUCUACCGUGAUUUCUUGCUUUGCUUAUGGUUCUUUCUCUCCUAUUUGGUCGCUCUAGACUUGUCGGAAAACGGUAUUUCCCGGUUGCGGCACAUGGUAUUCCGUUGUUCUCAUAGAUUUCGAGAAAGGAAUGCAGUUGCUGAUAAAUUAGCCAAUUUGGGAUUUCUCUCGUCUUCACUUGUUUGGCAUGCCACUCCUUAUAGACAUUCUUCUUGUCUGCAUUCAGAUUUAUUAAGUAUGUCGACCCACAGGUUUGUCUCCUCUUUUUGAUAUGUCAUUUUCUUUUUUACCUAAUCUUUUUGGAUUCUCCUUUUUUGUUUUGUAGCUUGUCUUGCAGGUUCUUACAUUUUACGUGUUAUUUUAGAGAGGGUCGGUCAUAAGUCCACCCCGUUUUUGUUUGUAUUUUCUUUUCCAAGAAGGGUAAGUAUAUGUGUGAUAGCCCGUCCCUAAUCUUAAGAGUUUUUAAAGUUUUAAUAAAGGAUUUUACAAAAAUGCCCUUUGAGGUACGCGCAUUUUUUGAGGUUAAUCGUCAUGUCGUGCCAUCUAAGAUUUGUUUUCUUGGCAUAUCAUCGUAGUACUCGUCGCUACGGAUGCGUGGGCGUAGACAGUUCGUGUCGAAAAAGUUAUUGACGUUUGAAAUUUGGGAAUUUUAGGAAUUUUAAUUUUAGUAAAAUAUAGAAUUUCUUUUAUGAAAAUGGACGGCCCAGAUUUAAUGAAGAAUUAAAUGGAUGGCUGGGAUGAGAGAAAGAAGGUUUUGUGUGUGUGUGUGCGUGAGAAGAAGAAGAAUCAGAGGAAAAAGAUUGGGCAGAAAUGCCCAAUCGGGAAAAGAGAGAAGAAUGGAUCAAGAGGGAGUGAGAGAGAGAGUUCAGCGAAUGGAGAGAAUAGAGAGAGAGAAACCAGCCAAUAGGAACAGAGGACAGGAGGAAAGGAAGGAGAGAGUGGCGCGGGGGAUCGGCCGGAUCCCCCUUGGCCCGUUUUUGACCCGUCGGCAUCCAUGCCUAUUUCUGACGAUUUUCACCCAUUUUUCCGGCGAAUUGCUUCAAGAAACUUCAUGGGAAACACUCUAGGAGCCUUCCUCUAUCCAUUCCAUCUCAAAAUUGGAGAGAUUUGGCUUUGAAAAUGGAGAAAACCGCAAGGAGGGGUGCGGCGACUUUGGCUUCGAAUCACCCAAUCCCGAAGCAAUUUCUUUCAAUUGCCACCACCCAUAGCUUCCUCUUGAGGCCUAGAACAAAGCCCAAGCAUUGAUUGGAACGGCGGAGUUGAUUUGAAGACGAAUUGGAACUCACCCAAUUCUAGGGUUCUUCACGGUUUUGACGAAAUUGGAGCCUUUCCAAGCCAAAUUGGCCUUUGCCUCAGGUAUAAAGUUUACUCUACUUGUUGAGAUCUUCAAUUCUAUAUUUUUUGAGAAUUUUUAGAAAUAGUUGGAUUUUCCGGCGAGCCGAGGCGGCCAACCGCCACCCGUGGCGGCGCGUGGCCAGUGGCCCACCAAUGUCAUUCUUAGCAUGUUUUUAAUGUUCUAGGUUCAGUUUUGAUAAUUGAUUGACGUAAAUUGAGUAAUUGAACCUAAGUUAGUUACGAUUCGUGGUGAGGUGAAAAUGUGAAUUGACGAUCCGACCGUUGAUCGUCACCAAACUUUGAUACGUUGUAAUACGUAAUAUUUGAGGAUUAUAGGAACUGACGGAUUGGGAAUCCGAUUUACGGAUCUUCCGGAAACGGAGUUGUAAGUUUAUAAAAUAGAAUGUUAACCGUCACUUGAUUUUGACAACUGGCGGAGAUCCGACCGUUAGAUGGUAAUGGAAUUUUAUGAUGUUGCUCUAGAGAUAUAUUGUGGAACUCUGGAAGUUAUGGAUUGGAAAUCUGAGUUGUAGAUCUUCCGGAUCGAUCUACGUAGUGACAUGUUUUAUAUAAGUUAUAUAUUCUAUCAAUAUGAUUUCUGAGGUUUGAUUUGAUGAUUGUUCUAGGCCCUGAUCGUCAUGACGCCUUGAUGUAUUGUGCUAGGGAGUUGUAGGGCGAACUCCAGGUGAGUGGGCAUUAUUUUCUGUAUUUACCUAUAUACUACUGAAUUUCCCAGAAAUUGAAUUUAAAUGAAAGUAUGUUUUUAAAAUGCCAUGCAUGCAUAUUAUGAAUUAUAUGAAUUAGUAAUUGAUGCAUAUAUAUGUGAAUUGGUGUUGUGGACGCACAUGCGAGUAUCAGGUGAGUGUUAUGUUAUUUAUGUAAAUCAUUGAUGAUGUGAAUUGUGUUGAGAGCUCAUAACAUGCACCCCUGGUGUUAGUGCUUAUAGUAUUCAUCGCACCGUACACUCACCUUGGAUCCAAGUAGGUGCAUGUCGUACAGACCAUGAGAGGGUUCUGACAUGCUAGUCGUACAGAUCACUAGAGGUGGUUCCGACUGGUAGGUGACCUUAGAUUAUGUGCACAGAUGAUUGAUGAGAGAAACACUAGAGCGUAUUAUUACACCAUUCUUAUCGUACAGAUUACUUUAGGUAGUUCCGAUUUAUGUGUAGAGUAGUGCUGUACAGGUCACAGUGGUGACUCUGGUUGGAUUGGAUAUUGAGCUAUAGAAUUAACCGAACAGGACCAACUGCAGGGUCUCCGGUUGAUUCCUUAUUCCACCUGUUAUAUUGAUGCAUCUUUAUUAUGUUUUGAUGCAUAGCAUGGCAUAUUUUCUCGAAAAGUGUUAAAGACUUGUGAUUUGAGUUUUGAGAUUUUAUAUGGUUAUAUAUAUUCUAUUUUUCUGGGAAAGUAUACAGGUUUUACAGCGAGGGGUUAGAAAUGUUUAAAAUGAAAUGUUUUCGAAAAACUUUGUUUUACUAACCCACUUAAUUUUGUUUUGCGCCCCUCCAGGUUCAAGUUAGCAGAGCUUUGGUGGCCACGAGGAAUCCAACAAUGUUCUGACAAAAUUCUCAAAAGUAGGAUUCACCCUCGGGUGUUAUAUCCUAGUAAUUGUAUCUUUAAAGCUUCCAAACUGUGUAAAUGGUUACGUCACUCUCACGUGACGGCCAGCAUGCCCUCCUUCGGGAUGGGGUGUGUCAGUUGGUAUCAGAGCCUAGGUUGCAGUCCUGGACAUCUUGAGAAUUCCCUAGUGUCUUCUGUCAGAACUUUACCACCUCGUAGAGAGCCACUUUGUUCAGAUGAGCUUAGUUUCCCCGAUUUAAUUUAGUUAUAGGAGACUACUACUGAUGUGAUUCAGUCUAUUACCCAAAUGACUCCUUUUGAGAAUGGUUAUAGAUUGAAUUUGAAUCAAUUUAGGGAAAUGAAAGACCGGAUGGAGCAGAUCAAUGGCUUAAUCAUUUGGAAAAGGCAUUUCAGAUUCUGCAAAUUAAAGGAAUCUUUCUCUUGAAGGUAGGUCGAGAUGACUACCUGGUUUCUGAGUAUUGAAAUUGCAUCAUGGUGGAGAUAGGAGUCUUAUACGAUGUCACCAGAGGAAACAGCUGAAUGAGAAUUGUUUAAAGAGUUGUUUAAGAAAAGGUUUAUUCCUCCGGCAUAUAUGGACGGUAAGAAACAAGAGUUUACAAUUUGAGACAAGGAAAAGAAUGAGAAUCAAAGGAAGGAUGACCAAGGUAAAGGUCAUGUAUCUCAAGAACCUCGCAAGACUUAGAGCUUCAAAAGAAGUGGGGUUAAUUCUAGUUCUGCCAUCAGAGAUUUUAGUACCAUUGAUCAGAUACGAGGUGGUAGAUUUACUGGAGAUCCUAGAUUGCAGAGGCGAAGUGACUCUGGUAGAGGGAAUGUACCUUUGUGCUGUAAGUGCAAUAGCAUACACUUUGGAGAGUGUAGGCGAGAAAGUAGAUGAUGCUUUACAUGUGGACAAAUGGAACGUAGAACUGCAAGAUACUUAGAAUCUUUCGGGCUUGAUCAUGGGCACGUUAAACAUUCUUGGUUACUUUGCUAGAGUUUUAAUUGAUUGUGAUGUAGAAAUUUUAUGUUAUUAACGAUGUUGCCAAAGAAAGUAGUGAAUGAGCACGAUCGAGGCGUAUAUAUGUAUUUCUGAUGAAGAGCAAGAUGAUAAUAUUACACCCUUGAGAAUUGUUGCUUACUUAUCGAGACAACAGUGAGUUAUCAUUAUUGCGGGCUGCAGACCAUAAUAUCCAUAACUUAUUUGUUGGAUUCGUUAAGCAGGUAAACAAGUAGGUAAUUCUAUGUCGGUUAUGAUUAUUCAGGGUGUCCAGUGAUGGUGGAAGAAGUAGUUAUGCCAGCGAAUCUUAUCCCGUUAGACAUUGUGGAUUUUGAUGUGAUUUUAGGCACAUAUUGGUUGCAUUAUAAUCGUGCCAAUAUUGAUUGCUACGGGAAAUCAGUUACUUUCCAUCGUCUUGGAUUAUCAGAGGUUACUUUUGUGAGUGAGCAAAGUGGAAUGAGGCAUGCCGUUAUUUCUGUUGUGAGAACAAAGAGAUUGUUAUCAAAAGGUUGCCAAGGAUACCUAGCUCAUGUGGUGUUGCAGGAUCGUACUCCUAGUAUUUUGGAUGACGUACGAGUAGUAGACAUUUUCCUAAUGUGUUUCCGGAAAUAUUUACCUGGAUUGCCACCAGACAGAGAUGUGGUGUUCACUAUUGAAUUGUCUCCAAAUACAUAUUUUAUGUUAUAGAUUGGUUCCUGCAGAGUUAAAAGAAUUGAAAAUUCAGUCACAAGAAUUGGUUGAUAAAGGUUUCAGUCAACCUAGUACGUUACCUUGGAAAACCCCAGCUUUGUUUAUAAGGAAGAAAGACAGGACCUUAAGAAUAUGUAUUGAUAUUAGGUAAUUGAAUUGGGUAACGAUUGAGAGCCGUUAUCCAUUGUUGUGUAUUGAUGAUUAUUUGAUCAGCUCUGAGGCGCCUAUGUAAUUUCUGAGAUUGACUGGAGGUCUGGAUAAUAUUAGUUGAAGAUUAGCAGUGUGGAUGUUCAUAAGACUGAAUUCAGGACUCGUUAUGGUCAUUUCAAGUUAGUGAUGCCAUACAGAGUGACGAAUGCACCUGCUACUUUUAUGAGUUUGAUGAAGGAAGUAUUCCAGUGAUAUCUAGACCGGUUUGUUGUUGUUGCCAUUGACGAGAUUGAUAAGAUUAGAACGGAGCAUGCUAGAUAUUUUGAGUUGGUGUUGCAAUGAUUAAGGGAACGUCGAUGUAUGCUAAGUUUAGCAAAUGCUAAUGUUAGAUAAAUCAAGUGACAUUUUUUAGACAUAUUUUAUCUACGUAAGGUAUUCAAGUGGAUUCUUAAAAGGGUAGCAGCGAUUGAGAAUUUGGAACAAUUGCGAACCGUGACUGAGAUUCAGAGUUUUCUCGGCUUAGCAGGUUAUUAUUGAUAGUUCGUCCAAGAUUUUUCAAUCAUUGCUUUGCCUUUGGCGAGAUUGAUGAGAAAAGAGGUUAAGUUUGAGUGGGAUGAAAAAUUGUGAGUAGAGCUUCAGCAAGUAAAAUAUUCCCUCACUCAUGCAUCUGUUUUCGCACUCCCAGACGAUAGUGGUAAUUAUGUGGUCUAUAGUGAUACUUCUUUGAAUGUUCUUGGAUGCGUGUUGAUGCAACAUGGUAGGAUGAUUGCCUAUGCUUCACGGCCAUUGAGAUCUCAUGAGAUGAAUUACCCUACUUGUGAUUUGGAAUUAGCGGCUAUCAUUCUUACUUUGAAGUUAUGGAGACAUUAUAUUAUUGGUGAGAAAUGCAAGAUUUUUAUGAAUCAUAAAAGUCUCCAAUAUAUGUUUACGCGGAGAGAUCUUAAUCUUAGGCAACAAAGGUGGAUUGAGUUGCUUAGUGAUUAUGAUUGUGACUAGGGUGGUCGAGCUAAUGUUGUGGCUGAUGCAUUUAGUAGGAAGACUCCAGUGAGAAUUAAUGCUUAGUACGCUUGCUAUGUUCAUCUUCUUGUGGAUUUGAGAUCUACUGGAGUAAAGUUGGGUAUCAAAGAUCGAGAAGAAGCCUUACUUGCUAAUUUUCAAGUUAGACCUAUUUGGUAGAUCGUACUCGAGACCCAAACGUUUGAUGAAGAAAUUCAAGAAUUUAUUUAAAGCAAGGGAUAACAGGAAAAAGAAAGACCUCAGAGUUAGAGAAUCUUAUGGCAUGCCUAUGCAAAAGAACAAAAUGUAUGUACCUAAUGUUAUGGAAUUAAAGAAAACAAUUUUGGACGAAGCGCACGGUUCAUCUUAUACAAGGCAUCUUGAAGGUAUUAAAAUGUAACAUAUCAUUCGAAAAUUUUACUAUUGACCGAGUAUGAAAAGAGAAAUGGUGGAGUAUGUAAGUAGGCGUAUCAUCCGUCAGCAGGUUAAAGCGGAAAGAAAUAAGUCAUUUGGAUUGAUGUAGUCAUUUCUUGUUCCACGAUGGAAAUGGGAAAAUAUUACUAUGAAUUUCGUGGACAAGCUUCCUCGUAUACAAAAUAGUUAGGUUGGAAUUUGAGUAAUAAUUGAUCGGCUUGCGACGUCAGCGCAUUUUACUUCAGUAUGAGAACAUCAACCUUUCUAGAAGUGCAACAGUGAUUUAUCUGUCUUAUGGAAAAGAGAUUUGGGCAUACGGAUCUGUUGAACUUCUUGGGUAUGUUGGUCCUUCAGUUUGUUCCCAAGAGGAACGCCAUAAGGCCGUGGAUAGCAGUGUCUUGUGUUUCAAAAUUGUUAGAAUUGUGGACGGAUGGUAUUUUGGGGAGCAAAAGGUUCAACCACGAAAAGUCUGAAAAAAAUUUAAGGCCAUGAGGUAGUGGAGGAGACUACUCGGAAUAUUCAAGUAAUUAAGUCUAAACUGAAAGUGGCCCAGGAUUGUUAGAAGAGCCUUGCCGAUAGACAUGGCACGGAUCGGAUGUAUGAUGUAAGUGAUUGAGUAUUUCUGAAACUUUAACCUUGGAAAGGUGGGGUUCGGUUCGGGAAGAAAGGUAAGUUAAGUCCUAGGUACAUCAGACCAUAUGUGAUCACCGAAAGAGUCGGUGAAGUUACUUACAGGCUUGAGUUGCCUCCAGAGUUGUCGAAAGUGCAUAAUGUGUUCCAUGUUUCCAUGCUUCGAUAUUAUGUUUCUGAUCCUUCACAUAUGAUUUCUCCUUAAUCUUUGGAAGUUAAUCCGGAUUUAAUUUAUGAUGAGGAACCAGUGAUAAUCUUGGAUUGGAAGGACAAUUUCUAAGGAAUUAAACAGUGAAGUUAGUGAAAGUUUUAUGGAGGAAUCAUUCAGCAGAAGAAACUACUUAAGAGACAAAAGAUCGAAUGAGAGAGAUGUUUUUCAGGUUGUUAUAUGGAUAUUGAUGGAUUGUAAAGAUUGUGUAAAUUUCAAGGAUGAAAUUUUUUUAAGGUGGGUAGAUUGUAGAGAUGGCAAUUUUAACCGUGAAACCCGAUACCCGUGGAUAACCGCCCGAAUGGAUUAGGUUUGGAUAUGAAAAUUCGGGUAUGGUUUGGAUAUGGGGAAAAACCGUGAACUUUAUUUGGUUAUGGGUUUGGAUAUGGUUAUAGGGGUAUCCAAUCCAUAUCCGUACCCGAAUCCAAACCGAAUAUUAUAUAUAUAUAUAUUUGAUAUAUAUUAUAUUUUAUUCAAUUAAUUCUUAAAAAUUCAAUUUUGCAACCCGGAUUCACUGAUUCAGCAGUUGUGUAAAAUGACAUGAUUGUCCAUCUCAUCUUUAGAUCCUACGGUGAGGAUGAUGAGUUAGAGGGGUAGAACUAGAAUCAUCUUUUUAUCAUAGGGUUUCAGUCUUUCAGAUUAGGACUUGAAUCUUCUUUCUUGGGCGUAGCCGCGCAGGUAAGGCCAUGCAUGCCGCCGAUCCUGGCACGUGUGAGAGAAAAAGAGAGUGACAAUGAGAGAAAGAGAAGAGAGAGUGGUUGUCCAGAUAAUAGGGAGAGAAACAGAGAGGGAGGGGUUGGGAUGGUGAACAGAGAGGAGUAAGGUCCCCCGACUCCGGGACUCCCUCAGUGUCAGUCCAUGAAUCACUCUGGAUCGUCCGUUCCCUUUUGCGUGUCGGAUGAGUGGCUGGAUUUCGAAAGCUAAGUUCCUUUUUUUAUUGGAUUCUUUAUUGUUAGCAUAUAUUUUCAUCAUUUCAGCCUUUUUGCUGUGAAUUAUAUCCGGAUUUUGUUGCACUGUUUGGUCAGGUUUUGGGGGUUCCUUUAUUUGUUUCAUUCUCUGUCAUUUUCUUUCAUUUUGUUGAUGCAGCAUCUCUCUGUUCUGUGUAUUGUUCUUUGUUUUAAGGUCAGUUUUUUUUUUUGUUGGUUUUCAAUUCGUUGAUCUAUGACUCUGUGUUUAGAUUUUCGUUCGUGUAUGAUUAAAUGGGUAUUGGGUUUUGGUGGUUGAAAAUAUGUUUUUUUCUUGCUUAUGCUUCUUGCUCAUUUUCCUGGGAUUUUUUGUUUUGAGUUGCAAGGGUAAAGAAAACACUGAAAUCUUAGAAAUCGGUUUUGGCAUUUGUGUUAAUGCAUUUCCAUUUUUGGUUUGCAGGAUAGGUGGAUGCAUUGAGACCUAAAAAUAUUUGCGUGAACAUCAUAAAGUUUUCUAAGGCUCCAAACGUUGAAGGGUAAGUGUUUUGAGCUAUGUUCAAUUUUUAAUUUGAUUCUCUACUGUUGGGGAUGCAUCUCUGAUCUCUCCGUUCUGUGUAUUGUUCUUUGUUUUAAGGUCAGUUUCUUCUUUUUUUUUUGGUUCUUUUUGUGGGUUUUUAGUUCGUUAAUUUGUGACUCUUGUGUUUAGAUUUUUCGUUGGUGUAUGAUUAAAUGGGUAUUGGGUUUUGCUUGUUAAAUCAAUAAUUGUCUUCUUGUUUAUUGUUAUAUAUUUAGUUUACAUGUUAAUUGACUCAAUUUCAGUAUUAUACCAUGUCUUUGUUUACAUAUUAAUGGAUUUGGUUGUGUUUGCAGCAAUCAAAAUGUCUAAAAGAAAAUUUAAGUCUCAAGAAGAAACAAUAUGUACCCCAACUGAUUGUAAUCUAGCACCUACAUUACAUCCAAGUGCUGUGCAACAAGAAAUACCAAGUCAAAUUGCUCAGCCCCAAGAUAUACCAACUCCAAAUGAGGUCGCUGGUGAGAUUAAGGAACCUGGGGGUGAUGAUGGUGAAGGUAAUAAUUCGAGACUUCGCAGUUUGGUGUGGCAACAUUACACAAGAACACUAGUUGAUGGGGUGAUGAAAGCAAUAUGUAAUUAUUGUAGCAAGAAGCUUGGUGGGAACACUGUAAAUGGAACCAGCCAUUUGAGGCAUCAUGUGACGAUAUGUCCACGUCGGAGACAAAAAAAAUUGAAGCAAACACUAACCCAAAAAGUAGGAGAUGGGAAAGUAGAGUUGUAUACAUUUGACCAAGAAAGUGCAAGGAGAGCUCUCGCCCAAAUGAUAAUAUUGCAUGAGUAUCCUCUUUCCAUGGUUGAGCAUGUUGGAUUUAGAAACUUCAUGAGUGUUGUCCAACUGUUGUUUAAGGUUGUUUCAAGAAACACAAUCAAGAGUGAUAUCCUCAAAAUAUAUGAUUAUGAGCGUUUGAAAACAAUGCAAUUGUUGGAUGAAAAUAAGAGUAGAAUUGCCAUAACUACUGAUAUGUGGACUGCAAGUAAUCAGAACAGAGGAUUUAUGGCAAUAACAUCUCAUUUUAUUGAUGACUCUUGGACGUUGCAGAGCCGAAUAAGGUGAUAUUUUUAAUACUUUAACUUCUAUUUAAUUGUUGUCUAGCUUUAGAUUUAUAUUUCAGAUUGUUUAUUGUAACCAUCUUCAUUGUAAUUUUUUUUCAGAUUUAUUUAUGUGCCUUGUCCGCAUACCGCCGAGACACUUUCAGAUGUUUUGAUGGAGUGCUUGCUAGAUUGGAACCUCGAUCGUAAGCUUUCUACCUUAACAGUAGAUAAUUGCACUACAAAUGAUAAAAUGAUUGAUGUUAUUCUUGAAAAACUUUCUGGUAGUUCACUUUUGUUGGGGUGGAGGGUUCUUUCACAUGCGUUGUUGUGCACAUAUAUUAAACUUAAUUGUGAAGGAUGGUCUCGAAGUGAUUGGUGGUGGUAUUGAGAAAAUUCGUGAGAGUGUUGUUUAUUGGACAACAACACAAAAAAGAAAGGAAAAAUUUGAGGAAGCAGCACGUCAGUUGAAGCUUCCAGGCACUAAGAAAAUGGUGCUUGAUUGUAAAACUCGAUGGAAUUCCACCUUUUUAAUGAUUCAAUCUGCUUUGAUUUACAAGGAUGUUUUCCCUCGUUUGAAACAACGAGAGUCGCAAUAUAAGUGUUUGCCUGAUGAUAGAGAUUGGGAGAUGGCAAGAGAGAUUUGUGAGAAGUUAAAGUUGUUUUAUAAUGUCUCCGAGUUGUUUUAUGGAACUAAGUACCCUACAACCAAUCUUUAUUUUCCAAAGAUUUGUGAGAUCAGGUUGUCGCUAACUCGGUUGCUUACCUCUAGACGUGAUGAAAUAAAAAAUAUGGCAAGAAGUAUGAUUGAGAAAUUUGAUAAAUAUUGGAGUGUGAUUCAUGGAAUAAUGGCUGUAGCUACUGUAUUGGAUCCAAGAUUCAAGAUGAGGCUGAUUGAGUAUUUCUUUCCGCUUAUGUAUGGGCAAUAUGCUUCGAAUGAAAUUGAUAAGAUUCGCAAAUAUUGUUAUGAUUUGAUAAAAGAGUGUGGAUCUAAUCAUAGUUCUAACAUGGGUCAUCAGCCAUCAUUCACUUCAUCUCAUUUGAAUCAAUCUGACUUUGAAGAGAUGAAUCCUUUAAUGGAUAACUUUGACUUGUUUGUUUCUAGUACUGUAAGUACUGAUAAUGAAAAGUCAGAAUUAGAUCACUAUUUGGAUGAGGCUGUUUUGCCUAGACAUCUGAUUUUGAUAUUUUGGGUUGGUGGAAAUCAAAUGGGACUAAAUAUCCUAUCUUAAGUGUUUUGGCAAGGGAUAUAUUAGCUAUUCCUAUAUCUACAGUUGCUUCUGAAUCAGCUUUCAGUACUAGUGGGAGAUUUGUAAGUCCACACCGUAGUAGACUUCAUCCAAAGACAUUGGAAGCCUUAAUGUGCGCCCAAAAUUGGUUGUGGAAAGAAAUUCAAGGUACUCCAAAGUAUUAAUUUAUUUUCAUCUUAUAUUUGUGCUGCUGUGCAUGUUCUUUAAUCUUAAUUUCGAACUUAUUUUUCAAACUUAAUUAAUUAGUAUGCAUUCAGUUUUUAGAACUAAUUUAAGUCUUCAAUUUCAUGUUUCACAACUAGCUUCUUGUUCUAAUGCACACGUUGGUUGUUGCACUUAUUUUGAAGAAAUGGAUAUGGAUGAGGUAAGUAUUGGCAAUUAUAUUAUAUGUAUAUAAAUAUCUUCUUUGUAGAUUAUAUGUGUACAACGAUUCAUAAUAAUUAUUUCGUCAUUUUCUUAAUAAUGUAGGAUUCAUGCUCCAUUGAUGGGUGUGAAGGAGGAGAUGCAGGAGCACCAUGAAAUAAUGAUGAUGGCAGCCUUGGCGGAACUAGAAGCAAAUUGCAUAUAUCUCGUUCUUUUGUCGUCAAUAUAUUAUUAUGUUUUUUGUAAUUGGAAGUCGGAUGAGUGGUUGGAUUCUUUACUGUUAGCAUAUAUUUUCAUCAUUUCAGCCUUUUUGCUGUGAAUUAUAUCUGGAUUUUGUUGCACUGUUUGGUCAGGUUUUGGGGGUUCCUUUAUUUGUUUCAUUCUCUGUCAUUUUCUUUCAUUUUGUUGAUGCAGCAUCUCUCUGUUCUGUGUAUUGUUCUUUGUUUUAAGGUCAGUUUUUUUUUUUGUUGGUUUUCAGUUCGUUGAUCUAUGACUCUAUGUUUAGAUUUUCGUUCGUGUAUGAUUAAAUGGAUAUAACCGAUAACCGAUUGAAAAUCCGUCACCCGGUGGAUAUGGUUAUGGAUAAUCCCCGAUUGGUUAUUUUACGGUUAUGGGUAUGGCUAAUUUUUGUGGUUAUGGGGAUGGAUAUUGCUUUUCCGUCCCCAAACCAAACCGUUGCCAUCCCUAGUAGAUUGUGACAGCCCGUCCCUAAUCUUAUGAGUUUUUAAAGUUUUAAUAAAGGAUUUUACAAAAUUGCCCCUUGAGGUACGCAUAUUUUUCGAGAUUAAUAGUCAUGUCGUGCCAUCUAAGAUUUGUUUUCUUGACAUAUCAUCGUAGUACUCGUCGUUACGGACGCGUGGGCGCAGACGGUUUGUGAUUUGGAGUUAUAUCGAAAAAGUUAUUGACGUUUGAAAUUUGGGAAUUUUAGGAAUUUUAAUUUUAGUAAAAUAUAGAAUUUCUUUUAUGAAAAUAGAUGGCCCAGAUUUAAUGAAGAAUUAAAUGGAUGGCUGGGAUGAGAGAAAGAAGAUUUUGUGUGUGUGUGUGUGCGUGAGAAGAAGAAGAAUCAGAGGAAAGAGAUUGGGCAGAAAUGCCCAAUCGGGAAAAAAGAGAAGAAUGGAUCAUGAGGGAGUGAGAGAGAGAGUUCAGCGAAUGGAGAGAAUAGAGAGAGAAAAAACGACCAAUCGGAACAUAUGACAGGAGGAAAUGAGGGAGAGAGUGGCGCGGGGGAUCGGCCGGAUCCCCCUUGGCCCAUUUUUGACCCGUCGGCAUCCAUGCCUAUUUUCGACGAUUUUCACCCGUUUUUCCGGCGAAUUGCUUCAAGAAACUUCAUAGGAAACACUCUAGGAGCCUUCCUCUAUCCAUUCCAUCUCAAAAUUGGAGAGAUUUGGCUUUGAAAAUGGAGAAAACCGCAAGGAGGGGUGCGGCGACUUUGGCUUCGAAUCACCCAAUCCCGAAGCAAUUUCUUUCAAUUGCCACCACCCAUAGCUUCCUCUUGAGGCCUAGAACAAAGCUCAAGCAUUGAUUGGAACGGCGGAGUUGAUUUGAAGACGAAUUGGAACUCACCCAAUUCUAGGGUUCUUCACGGUUUUGACGAAAUUGGAGCCUUUCCAGGCCAAAUUGGCCUUGGCCUUAGGUAUAAAGUUUACUCUAAUCGUUGGAUUUUCCGGCGAGCCGGGGAGGCCAACUGCCACCCGCGGCGGCCCAUGCGGCGGCACAUGGCCAGUGGCCUGCCAAUGUCAUUCUUAGCAUGUGUUUAAUGUUCUAGGUUCAGUUUUGAUAAUUGAUUGAUGUAAAUUGAGUAAUUGAACCUAAGUUAGUUACGAUCCGUGGUGAGGUGAAAAUGUGAAUUGACGAUUCGAUCGUCGGAUCGUCACCAAACUUUGAUACAUUGUAACACGUAAUAUUUGAGGAUUAUAGAAACUGACGGAUUGGGAAUCUGAUUUACGGAUCUUCCGGAAUUGGAGUUGUAAGUUCAUAAAAUAGAAUGUUAACUGUCACUUGGUUUUGACAAUUGGCGGAGAUCCGACCAUUGGAUGGUAAUGGAAUUUUAGGAUGUAGCUCUAGGGAUAUAUUGUGAAACUCUGGAAGUUAUGGAUUGGAAAUCUGAGUUGUAGAUCUUCCGGAUCGAUCUACAUAGUGACGUGUUUUAUAUAAGUUAUAUAUUCUAUCGAUAUGAUUUCUGAGGUUUGAUUUGAUGAUUGUUCUAGGCGCCGAUCGUCAUGAUGCCUUGAUGUAUUGUGCUAGGGAGUUGUAGGGCGAACUCCAGGUGAGUGGGCAGUAUUUUCUGUAUUUACCUAUAUACUACUGAAUUUCUCAGAAAUUGAAUUUAAAUGAAAGUUUAAAAUGCCAUGCAUGCAUAUUAUGAAUUAUAUGAAUUAGUAAUUGAUGCAUAUAUAUAUAUGUAAAUUGGUGUUGUGGACGCACAUGCGAGUAUCAGGUGAGUUUUAUGUUAUUUAUGUGAAUCAUUGAUGAUAUGAAUUGUGUUGAGAGCUCAUAACCUGCACCCCUGGUGUUAGUGCUUAUAGUAUUCACCGCACUGCACGCUCACCUUGGAUCCAAGUAGGUGCAUGUCGUACAGACCAUGAGAGGGUUCCGACAUGCUAGUCGUACAGACCACUAGAGGUGGUUCGGACUGGUAGGUGACCUUAGAUUAUGUGCACAGAUGAUUGAUGAGAGAAGCACUAGAGCGUAUUAUUACACCAUUCUUAUCAUACAGACUACUUUAGGUAGUUCCGAUUUAUGUGUAGAGUAGUGCCGUACAGGUCACAGUGGUGACUCCGGUUGGAUUGGAUAUUGAGCUAUAGAAUUAACCGAACAGGACCAACUGCAGGGUCUCCGGUUGAUUCCUUAUUCCACCUGUUAUAUUGAUACAUCUUUAGUAUGUUUUGAUGCAUAGCAUGUCAUAUUUUCUCGAAAAGUGUUAAAGACUUGUGAUUUGAGUUUUGAGAUUUUAUAUGGUUAUAUAUAUUAUAUUUUUUAGGAAAGUAUACAGGUUUUACAGCGAGGGGUUAGAAAUGUUUUAAAUAAAAUAUUUUCGAAAAACUUUGUUUUACUAACCCACUCAAUUUUGUUUUGCGCCCCUCCAGGUUCAAGUUAGCAGAGCUUUGGUGGCCACGAGGAAUCCAACGGUGUUCUGACAGAAUUCACAAAAGUAGGAUUCACCCCCGGGUGUUAUAUCUUAGUAAUUGUAUCUUUAAAGCUUCCGAACUGUGUAAAUGGUUACGUCACUCUCACAUGACGGCCAGCAUGCCCUCCUUCGGGACCGGGUGUGUCAAUAUGUCCCCUCACUCUUUCUUGUAAUUUUUUAUAAAGAGGGAUAAGGUGUAUGUCCUCCCUUUUUUUUUUCUAGUAAUUUGUUUUUCUUGUUUUAUAAGGGAUAAGUUUAUGUCUCCUUAACUAAGGGUAACCUUUUUUUUUUCAUAACAAUAAACUUUGCUCGUACUGCCGAGGUUUUUCAAUUCUUUCUUGUAAUAGCAAAGGAGACAACUUCACAUUUUAAAAGUAAAAUGAAAAAGGAUUUUUCCAUGCAAUAGGACAUUAUUACAAAAGUCGACCAUUUGUGUUUGCGUAGCCGUAAGCUACUACCAAACCAAGAAAUAGAAAAGGGCCAGUCAUUUUCUUAAGAUAACAUUAAUCUAUCUGAUCCAAGAAAGCCUUGAAAUUCUUGUUCGAAGACCCCCCUUCACUCACAGCCUCUCUUGCCAAAUCUUUCCAUUUCUUAGCAUUCCUUCUCAUCUCUUCACCAAUCUCCCCACUUCCCAUGACCAACUCCAAACACCUCUUGAACUCCUCACCCGUAACAAUCCCCUCCUCAUUUUGUGUCACCCUCAAUCCUGUCUUCCAAGUGUCUUCUAUCAACUUGGCAUUCGUCCCUUGGUCCGUCCACUGAGGAAACGCCACGACAGGCACCCCCGAAACCAGGCUCUCCAAACUUGAAUUCCACCCACAAUGUGUCACAAAGCAACCCAACGAAGGACUCGAGAGAACCGCCACUUGACUACACCAUGGCACUAUCCUCCCGAGCUCUUCUAAUUCCUCUCUGCAACUCAACAUCUCUUCUUCUUUCUUCGCCUCGUUAUCGUCUCCCUUCUUCUCGACUUUAUCUCUAAUAACCCACAAGUACGGACGGCCACAAUCCAACAACGCCUUCGCGAUUUCCUCCAUUUGGGCCUUUUCCAACACAGAAAUGCUUCCGAAGGAUACAUAAAUCACCGACCCUUCCGGCUUCGAGUUCAGCCACUCGAGGUACGAAGAGUCCUUUGAUUUUUGGAAAAGAUCGCCUCCAAAUGACUUGUCCGAUGGAACCUUGCUGUCCAAGGAAGCAGACCGAAUCAGUGGCCCGAUUCCAAUCAAAUUGUACUUGUCAAUUGCUUUUAAGGCUUCUGGCUCUAGCGCAUCGAACGUGUUCACUAGAAUGGUCGGAUUGGUUUCUCUCUCCAGCAGAUCCAUCUGUUCUUGAAACAACGGGAGGGCGAAAUUGUACGGAUUUGUAUCCACCAUGAAGGAGGGAAGGUCUCGGCUUGUGAGAGAUAAUGGCAAACCUGGUAAUUCUAUUGAACAUGGAAGGACAUCGUUCGUACCAGAACUAGUAUUAUCCCGGAUGAGAUCUUUGUACCCGUUAAAGUAAUAGUAGUAGAUGUCGAAAACUGUGGCUGGUUGAAUCCAAAGCAGUACGUUUUGGAGGUGAAGUUCAUACGCCACGUCCGCCGCCCAAGGGAGAAAUGUUGUGUAGACUAGGCAAGUGUAAGGGUGACCCUCGUUUGCACUUGAGACUACAAGGUCGGUGAUGGCUUGUGCUCCGCGGCGCCGCAGCUCCAAUGCGUAGUGGUCGUUGUUGUUGGUACGAUUAAACCCGUCGUCGUACCCAUCAGAGAAGAGUGAGUAGGUCAAUCCAUCUGGAAUUGAGUCAUUGCCUAUGCGGUGACGGGCGGAAAGGCAGGUAACGAAGGUGACAUGGGCGCCGGUAGUGUUGAUAAGACGCUUGGCGAAUUGGAGGGACGGGUUGAUGUGGCCUUGUGCCGGGAAUGUGACAAGUAGAAAGCGGUGUUGCACCAUGGCGGCGUAUGCGAUUGCGGAGUUGCGCGGUGGAGCGUGGAGGUGUUGGAAGUAGAAUAAGUAGGUACGUAAUUGAUUGGUAGAAUAUUUGUUUCUGUGGGCUUAUUAGCUGAGUGAAAUUGAAAUUCUUGUGGGAAUAUACAUUCAAGGUGGGGAGUGUGUUGAGAGGAUGUCAAGGCUUAAAUAGGGGUUUGGGGGUAGAAAGGUGACGUUUGUCGUGACGCAUUGAAGACGCUGGAGACGAAGCAAAGAUGAGAAGAAUACUUGUGUUUUGUGGUCUUCUCGAUCAUGCAUAAUAUUAUGAGUAAUACUAGGGAGGUCAUCUAUACUUAAAUAAAAUACUAUAUUUAUCACAUAUUUGUGUAUUGUAUCAUUAUUUGUAUCAUCUUUCUAAUAGAGAUAAGACCAGACCAAGUGGCCCUACAUCUAUUGAAGAGAUGAUACAAAUAUGUGAUAUGUGUAGAAAUCAUAAAUUUUAUAUCAUACGACGUGGCUAUUAAUGACACAUCACAUGAUUUACAAAUUUAAUGUAAAAAGUUAGUAUCCCUAACUUACUCUUUUCAAAUUCGCUUCAUCAAGUUUCUUAGCACAUCACGUGGACUAAAUCCAGUUUGAUGUGGUCAGAUAGACAAAUUAAGUCAUCGCCACAAAACUAAUCAAUACACAUGCGAGUGUUUGAUUUGUCUAGGUUAAUUAACUAUUGAUUCGAUCUGAUUUGUCUAGUUUAAUUAAUUAUUCAAGGCCGAGUGUUUGAGGCCAUGAAUAAUUGAGUUCGAACUAAACAGCCUAUACGGUUCAUCGUAGAUGUGAGCAACUCCACCUUGAGGGCUUGUCCUCAAUACUAGGAAAAAAGAAAACUAAGAACCAAGACACAAUCUGAUGGUGGCACGGUCCUUCACUCUAAAACUAAAGAACUAAAACUAAAAUAAGGGACUUGGAUCCUCUCCUAAGCUAGUGAAGAGGAUCCUCCUGACCAAGUGUUAUGGGCCGUUGGAUUUUCAUCUAACGGCUAUAAUUAUUAUAACUUUAAAAGGACCCACCUGUUUGUAGCCGUUGGAUAAAAAUUCAACAGCCCACAACACUUGGUCAGGAGGAUCCUCUCCAUUAGCUCAGGAGAGGAUCCAAAUCCUAAAAGAAGGACCAAAUUGUUUUCUCGUGGUCCUAAGCCGAAAGAAGGUAUGUUGAAAUAUCUAUCAUCGAUAGAAUAAGAAAAAAAGAGUUUAAAUAUCUUAAUUUCAUUCCAACUAAUAUCGAAAUCUUUUAUGAUAAAAACUUCACACCUGUCGAACUGUGUAAAGUAAUAAUUUAAAAAUGAAGACAAUAUCGAUAUUAUUGGAAGUACAUUUUUCGCAUGUAACAAGGCAAACACAUAUAUGCUCCAUGUGUCAUAAUUUAGUUCGAUAUGACCAGUAAAAAAAUAAGCAACCAUAUAGUUUUGGUGAAAUGGAAUAUGAAAUGGGCCCUACCGCGGGACUAAGACUCCUAAUCCUGCUACUAAUAAACACACAUAUGCUCCAUGUGUCGUAAUUUAGUUCGAUAUGACCCGUAAAAAAAAUAGGCAACCAUAUAGUUUUGGUGAAAUGGAAUAUGAAAUGGGCCCUACCACGGGACUAAGACUCCUAAUCAUGCUAAGAUUAUUUUAAAAGGAAAACUAAUGAAAAAUGCUUGAAAACUUUAAGUUUUAAUGAUAAGGACAAAAUAAAAGAUAAAGUGAAUAGUACUAGAAUUGAUUUUUUAGUGUAAAAAUAUGAUUUUUUGUUAAAGUGAGCAGUACAGGUGCUUUUCGUUAAAGUUCCCUAUUUUAAAUUCCUAAUCCUGCUAAGAUUCCUAGUCAAACUAAACUUCCCUAAUUAAGCUAGAUGGUUGUAGUAGUCUUCACUCAUGCAUGCAUGAUGAGUGCAAAAAUUCGCUUUCUAUUUCUAUUAAAUUAAGUGAAUAGCACAUAACAUGGACUAGUAGGUUUGACGUGGUAAGAGAGAUGAGCGAAUUUAGUGAGCACAAACCUGAUUAAUACACAUACAAAUUUGUGAUUUGUCUAGUUAGGGGCCUAAGGGCUAGGGGGCCGUUUAUCAUAUGCCAAAUUUGAUUGGUCUUGUUAAAUUUCAAGUAGACGGGUCAUGGGCCCACUCCAACAACAUCGAUAUUGUCCUUACUAGGCCACCCGCUCAAUCCGUCAGGUGUGGGGUUUUAAUACAAAAGACCUCGAUAUUAGUUAGAGUGGGGUAAUUUUAUUUAAAGGGCUUGUUCUCAAGCCUUCUGACCGAUGUGAGACAGAGGAAUUAUAACACUCCCCUGCACGUGAGACCCCAUUUUAUGGGUCACACAUGAAGUUCCACACAUCGGCAACCACGUGGAGCCAAGUCGGGGCUCACCCGUUCGUGCGAGGCCAAUGGGGACCCACCCAUUCAUGUUGCAUCUCUUGGCCUAUGUGGAGCCAAGUUGGGGCUCACCCGUUCACGCGGGGUCAAAGAGGACCCACCCGUUCACGUGGAUGUACGGGCCCAUCCCCUGGCUCUGAUACCAUCUUAAAUUUCAGGUAGACGGGUUAUAGGCCCACUCCAACAACACCGAUAUUGUCCCCACCAUGUCAAAUUUCAGAUAAAUGGGCCAUGGGCCCACUCCAACAACACUGAUCUUGUCCCCACUUAGCCACAUACUCAAUCUAUCAAGUGUGGGGUUUUAAUAUAAAAGGCAUCGGUAUUAGUUAGAGUGAGGUAAUUCUAUUUAAAGGGCUUGUUCUCAAGCUUUCUGGCCGAUGUGGGACAGAGGAAUUCUAAUAGGUCUAGCUGCAUCACACUAAAAUUGAUUGGUCUAGCUUUAUGAUACUAACUUUCCUUUAUCAACAAUGAUCAUUAGACACACAAAAUUAACCAUAUUGAUGACGUAUUUUAUAGUAGAGGCAAGUGUGCCAAAAAGUAAAAAAGUGUGGCAUGACCAUUGUCACCCUUUUAGUAAUAGCUACCUUAGCAACGUCACUCUUGCUCUGUGGUUAUUGCCCUCUUUUCUCGUAUUGGCCUAUGUUAAAGAGAAUAUAUCGACUAUGUGACCAAUUUUGUGUCCUAAAUAGUGUUACUGGGUCUUUAUUGUUAAAGCUAUUUUUGUUAAACAAAUUUGACAUUCAUCUAUUUCUUUUUCGUUUUGAAUAAGCAAUGUCCUACACUGUUAUAUUGUUAGGUUUUAUUGACCCUAAAAAUUACAAGAUGUACAUGGCGCGCAGGCCGAACAACUAAUGAGUUAACUACGUCCUUCUUAUGAAUGCAGGCUUACCAACUCACGACCGAGACUAAUUGGGUGAGUAAAAUAGAUGUGGUGGUGGUGUUGAAUGCAUUGCUGACUGCUACGCUUAAGCAACUACGACCGAGGAAAUAACGCCUCUCAGCCUAGGGUUCUAGACCCUGAAGACAAGGUUACUUAAUUCAUUGAGAAGUUCAGCAUCUUCUCACCAAAUUCGAUACCUACAACUAUAUUCGUGAGAGUAUAACUACGCUGAAUCGGUAUCAAGCUGUAAAGACAAAUAUACUCAAAAGAAACGAGUGUCUUUAUGGUGAAUGUUGUUUGGUUGUCGGAAUGACGAACUCUGAAAUGUACUUGCGAGUAACCAAUCAUAGACACCUCACUUCGCUGGGGAAGCUAAUGAAGUGGCAUCUUUCGGUGAAGGAAUCAAAGAUUCUUCAUCGGCUGAGACUUAGAUAGGUAACCAACCGAACUAGAAGUAGUGAUAUUUAAACAAACUGAAGGUAUUCCUAGGUCGACUAGUCCUACGACUCCAGUAAUGUCCACCCGAACUGAAUAUGUUGUCAGUUUGCGAACCCAAUGAUGUUCGAUUUGCCAACCAAUGAUGUUCCAACGAAAUGAAUAUAUGCAGAUAGAGGGGUUAGAAUAAUUAGUAUUUUUUUUUCAAGUUGUGACAAGGAUUUCAUGUAUUGUUGGAAUUUAGGAUUAUUUUAUUGUUUGAAUUUGGGCGUAGCCAAUUAGUAUUAGGGUUUCGUUUUCUUGCUUAUUAGGGUUAGGUUAGUUCUCUAUAUGUAUGAUGCUUUAUAGCUCGUAGAAUAAGUAAUUCACAAUGUAGUAUCUUGGAGUUUUGUAGCUAUUUUGGCAUUCUCCUUUCUUUAAUAAUAUUCUUAUUAUUUUGUAAUCUUGUUUGUUGAGCACUCUGAUAUUCAACUUGGUAUCAGAGCAGGUUUGAUCAUUCGGGGUAUCCAUGUUGUUUGUUUGAUAUUAGUUUUCAGUAUUCGUUUUGAAAAGAAAAAAAAAUUUGAAUAUGUUUGCUCGAAACCAUUCCCAGAUCCGUACAUACCUGAAGCCCUGAACCGUACCCGCAAUCGUUUCCUCAUCAGAUCACCACCACGCUACCACUAGAACCACCUGCUACAAAUCCGACUGAAUCUGCACCUCGCCUGCUUGAAACAUCGCGCCACCAUUUUCUUGAACCCAUUGCUGUAUUCUCUAUCUUUUGUAUCCACCGCCGCUGAACCUUCUGUUGUCCACCGCUGUGCUUGUUCCGAUUCCUUUCCCAACGAUUUGAUCACCUGCACCAUGAUCAGACGAAUUCAUCACCAUCCACCCAUGUUGCCGCUGCAAUCAAGAACUCUGCUGAUCCGUAUUCAUACCAUCACCCAAAUUCAACUAACCCAAGAUUGCAUGCCCGCUGCUCAUCACAUCCUUGUUGCACUGCUGCUCGACCCUGUACUCCGCUUCCGUCGUGAACCCACUAAGCCACCGCGACAAUAGAAUCCCAUCGCCACUGCACUUGCAUCAACCCCAUCUGCACACUGCCUCUGUAACUAGAAACCUAGCACAUUUGCCAUUUGAAUGGAUUGUUUGUUUGUUUGCUUGAAUCGCUUGCCUUGUCGUGUCCGCCUAAUGGAGCUUACCUUGUCGUGUCCGUCUAACGGAGCUUGUCUUGUCUUGUCCACCUAACGGAGCUUGCAUCCGCAUCUGCUUGUUGGCAAACUCAUUACGUGUAUCGCCAUGAGUUUGACGGGGGGUGUUGGAAUUUAGGAUUAUUUUAUUGUUUGAAUUUGGGCUUAGCCAGUUAGUAUUAGGGUUUCGUUUUCUUGCUUAUUAGGGUUAGGUUAGCUCUCUAUAUAUAUAAUGCUUUGUAGCUCAUAGAAUAAGUCAUUCACAAUGUAGCAUCUUGGAGUUUUGUAGCCGUUUUGGCAUUCUCGUUUCUUUAAUAAUAUUCUUAUUAUUUUGUAAUCAUGUUCGUUACACACUCUGAUAUUCAACUCGUAUAGUGUUUGAGUUGUUUUGACUUAAAGGGGGUUUUUCACGUUGUAGAACCUCUUGUAUUUAUAGGACGACAAUACUUUGGUUGAUAGGUUCCAAAACCAAUUCAAACUGCAGCACGCUCUUUGAGCUUUAUCCCAUUUUACUUGCUAGUUAUAUCCGAUGCUUAAGUCUAGUCUAGCUAACAUCUCAUGAGAAACAACUCUAAUUUGGGGCCAUGUGCAUGAUGAAGGCCUACUUCCCUCCUAAGAUGGGACUCUAUCAUUAGUUACAAGGACGAUAGAGUUCCAAACCUAUCCACAUAAGUUAUAAAUCCCAAACCUAUUGGAUGUGCUGCUCACCGUGCCCAUCUUAACAAUCAUAUCUUCUUUUAAUUUGUAGAAUGGGAAAGCAAUCACACUGCCCAUAAUCUUCAAAUGCAGCAUGUGCUUCAAAAGAGUCCAUCAACUACUGAAGCUUUAUUUUUGCUCCUAUUCCAUCGUCAGACCGCGGUACACUAAAUGAUAGGAUGAGACAAACCUGUAGUUGUGUUGAAGGAGUCUGUCAGCUUUGCUUUUGUUGCUGUCAAAAUAUUUUUAAUAAACGCUUCAAGAUAAUUAUUUUGAUGAAAAUCAACGAUAAUAUCUUAAAGAAGUUAAAUUAAAAUCUCUUAAAUCUCUCUCAUACGGCCGAAGUUUUCAGAAAUAAAAAAAAGUUAAUUAACAUCUCUUUAUUCUUAGAGCUAUCAAACAAUCUAAAAUUUUGUUCAUUCAACAACCUUAAUUGUACCAGACCGAUAGUUUAAUAGUGGGUCCAACCUUGUUUACUCUAAAAGACAGAAUGAAACUGUGAAUAGCAUGAGUGCCUCGCAACCGGUUUACCAUCGACCACAAGUAAUCAUUUGCAUUUCUUAGGAUGCUAAAACAAACAAGAAUAAAACCAAAAUAUAAAUCAGAUGGCAACGUCAUACUGCAUGGUUGCCUCUUGGUGUAUAAGCCAAACUACAGAGAAAAUAUUGGAAUGUUCUCUAUUCUCGAACAUAUAAAAAAACGUCAUCCAUGACGAUAUCUUAAAAAUCAGAUUGCAACCAAAAUUUAAAUAAUGUCUUUUAGCUUGUCUUCUGAUUGCGUAUCACGAAAAAACAUUACACCUCACAGCAAAUGAAAUUUUAGCACGUGUGUAUUCAUUCUGAAUAACGCCAUAAGAGUUCAAAGUUUAAAUGAGGGAUUCAACCAGGUUGUGCAAGACAAGAAAUCUUCUGUAUUUAUUUUGUGUGUAGCUUUUUUUAUAGUUUUUAUUCUUGAUCGAUUGACACAUGUUAAAAAGUUUAAUCUUUCUUAACUUUAUUGUCUUAAAUUUAACAUGUAUUAUUUAAUAAUAGAGAUCAUAGACAGACCAGACACAAAAUAAAUGUAGAAGAUUUGUUCUCGUUGAGGAGCUAAGCACUCAAGAUUAUCUAAAGGGAUGACGGAAGGAAAAAUAGUUAGAAUUAGGACAAGUAAAUGGUGCAGUUUUUCCAAUGUGGUAAAAAAAUACAAAAAUGGUUACGAUUAUAAUAGAUAAAUAGUUUGUUGACCAUUUGCAUGCGUAAACAGUUGAUCCUGAAACAUCUCAACAAUUAAAUCUAGAGAACUUUAACAAAAAGUUCCUGCUACUGUUUAUUUUAACGAAAAAUCACAUUUUUACACUAAAAAGUUAAUCAUGGUACUAUUCACUUUACCCUUUAUUUUGUCAUUAUCUUUAAAACUCAAAGCUUUCAAGCCUUUUUCAUUAGUUUUCCUUUAAAUCUAAGCUGAAGAGGUAGAUGUUGUGGGUCUUCAUCAGUCCAUUAGCAAGGUCAAUGCGUCCGUUGGCAAGGUCAGUGCGCCUACUGGCCAAGUCCAAUGGCAUACAUGCCUAAUGCCUUCUUGGUAUCUAUGAUUAUAUUGAAAUAGAUAAUCAUCUAAAUUAAAGAUAUAUAGAGGUAGAGGGUACUGAUUCUUCAUUUUGAAUGAAUUAGAAGGGGAUCAGACAUAAAGGAAAAUUCUUUCUUUUAAUCCUACUACAUUUUUAGAAACGAUUGAAAUGAAUAAGCUUUUCUUCUCGAGCAAUUCAUCUCUUACUUUCAAAUUUGUCACAUAUUUUUCAUUUAUUCAUUCAGCUUACCUUAAAAAUGAUAACUUAUGUAUUCCAAUUCAUUUCUCUGUACCAAACAAGGCUAUAGUUCUCAACUUAAGAAAUGCUUAGGGUCGACUCUCUCAAAGUAGGACUCUCAUAUAUUUUUUGUCACCUCACUGUAACGUCAAUUUCUAUACCAACAUUAUAAUACUAUGCUAAAAGCAUAAAAUGACAGAGAGUCUAUGAAAAAUCUCACGAGUCUCUUUAGCAUUUGUGAUAGUAACUUAUUAAACCAUUAAGAUUACUGUUGUCUCUUUAGCAUUUUUGACUACUGUCAGUUCUUCCCUUUACCUCGGUGGACACUCAAAAUACUUUUUCUUUUAGGAUAACUAAUAAAAAUGAUUUGAAAACUUUGAGUUUUAACGAGAAUGAUAAAAUAAAGGGUAAAGUGAAUAGUAUCAAGAUUAACUUUUUAGUAUAAAAAUAUGAUUUUUCGUUAAAAUGAAUAGUACCAUGAGCUUUUCAUUAAAAUUCUCUUUUGUUUUUGGGGCAAAGUGGACACCCAAUUAAAUCCAAGUAUGUGACUAGAGCAAAGUUCCUGUGGUAUUUUUCUCAACAAGGCCUUUGGUUUCUUGUGUAAGAGAGAGGCUGUAGACAGAUGGAUGUCUCCUUCCGUUUCUUUUGAGAGCACUAUUUGAUGCCACUAAUUAUCCAUUGAGGCUCCUUUUUGGAUAAAAUGUCUGGCCCCAGUAGGAUGAGAAUCUUUUCCGAGUUUUUUUGUGAAGGUUAUAGGAAUCCUCAAAUCAUAUUCGUUUAUCAUAUAUUAUGCGAUAAAAAAUUAUUUUAAAUAUUUUUAUUUAAAAUUAAACAUGAACAGUAUUUGAAGAAAACUGACCACACAAUAUACGAUGAAUAUACAUAAUUUGAGGAUCCCAGGAUCCUUACAAAGGCGAUCCGGAGAAGAUCCUCAUUCGCCCCAAUUAUCCAAUUUGAUAAAAGUUGACAGAAUUUAACAUUUAAGAUCAGUUGAAGGAGAAAUUUUUGUUAAUAUUUUAAGUGUCAUAAUAUAAGUAGUUGGAAAAAAAAAAUUUCAAAUAUUCAACCAGUAUCCAACCACAUCUAUUAUGACAGUGAGUAUAUAUCAAAUUGGAUACUGGUUGAAGGCUGGAACAUUGUCAGUUUUGUACUAGCUGAAGUUCCCAGACUCGGGUUUUAUUGAGAUUGCAAAUGCAAUUUUUUUCUGAUUUUGUUAUCGUCUUGAGACUUGUCCAUAUACAAUUAUCUUUGGACGUUUUCUCUUAUAUGUUUCUCGAUAUCCCUGGUACAUGAAGGUUUCCAAUCCAUAAUAUACUUUGGUGGCUGAGAUUUUAGGGUUCCAACCUUUCCUUGUUAUUUUAAAAAACAGGCGUUGCGUCCACUUCAAGGGUGUAACAUUUUAUUCACUCAGCGUAAUUCAAUCACCGUAAAUAUGUCAUGAUUUGAACUGUUCAAUAUUUUAAUUAUGAUUUAAGAUAUCUUAUGAUGUUGGUACCAAUUACUAUUUCAGUUUUGUUUCACUUUGUUAUCUAAAAAAGUUCAUGCUUUGAGGAACAAAAAUUCAUUUUCGAUUUUAAUCAAAAUAAUCUUGGAAAUGUAGAACAAUCAUGCUUUGAGGAACAAAAAUUCAUUUUCGAUUUUAAUCAAAAUAAUCUUGGAAAUGUAGAACAAUUUAGCUUAUGGGCUUUACAAACGUGUUUUAACAAAAUAAUCUUGGGAAGUUUUUUUAUUAUUACAAAUCAUAAUUUUUAUACACAAAAAAUGGACAAAUGAGUACCACAAUAAUCUAGAGAAUUAGAAUAAUAUCUUAUAUGUUGUGGUCUAUAUUUAAUUGACAAGGGAAGGGAGCCGGCGGCACAUAGAGACAAUAGAAAUAGAUGUAUUUGUAGGAUUGUGUAGAAGAAUGUGUGUGUUAUUCUCCCUACGCAAUGCCUUUAUUUAUAGUAAUAAGAGAGAGAAGAAAUCCUUCUCCUCCAAGAAAUACAAGUCCUAAUAGGGAAGAAUAAUAAGAAUCAAAUCUAAUAUAGGAUUUACACAAUCACACUUAAAUAAGAAGUUUAUAACACUCCCCCUUGAGUGUAUAAAUGCUCAAGUAGAUUCGGCAUCAUGUAGAGCUUGAGGAAGUCGACUCGUCGGCACUGAUUCUUGGAACAUGUUGUUCUCAAUAAGGUAGGAACUUGCAUAAGUAAGUAAGUCUCACAAAAAACCCUAAGGCUAUAGUAAAAACCCAUAGGGACAAAAUCCAUAGUCUAAGGAAAAAUGCGUGAGUAAUGCAAAGUUAAAUGAAACAUCUACGGGCAGUGGCGGAUCCAGGAAAUAAUGUUUGUGGGGUCAUAGCGCGUGCAGCGCGAAAUUUUUUUUUAGCCUCGUUUGGUAUUUCGGACUGUACUGACUAUUUCAGUCGGAUAGGAUAAAUAGUCGUCGGAUAGUACUAACUACAUUAGUCGGGCGUUUGGUGCAGUGUCGAAUUAAUCUGUGCAUUGAACAAUACUAAAUUUUUUUAAUAAUUUUUAACAAAAUAAUUGGUGUUAAAAUGAAAAAACUCACAAUAUAAACAAAUCAUCAAUAUAAUCAAAAUAAAUAUGAAUUGAAUUUCAAUUAAAUUAAAUAUAUUCUACAUAUACAAAAUAUUCAAAAUAAAUACUCACAAUAUAAACAAACCAUCAACAUAAUCAAAAUAAAUAUGAAUUGGAUUUCAAUUAAAUUAAAUAUCUCAUCUUGCAUUCUACAUAUAAAAAAUAAUGAAAAUAAAAACUCACAAUAUAAACAAAUCAUCAAUAUAAUCAAAAUAAAUAUGAAUUGAAUUUCAAUUAAAUUAAAUAUAUUCUACAUAUACAAAAUAUUCAAAAUAAAUACUCACAAUAUAAACAAACCACCAACAUAAUCAAAAUAAAUAUGAAUUAGGGUUGGAGGAGGAGGAGAAAACAAAAGAAAUUUGGGGGUUUUAGAAAGAAGGGAUUCGGAUCUGUGCAAAAUAGGGCUGAUAGGACACACUGGGUAUUUUUUUGUUUGUUCAGACCUGCCCAGGACACGCUGGGCAUUUGUUUUUUGUUCAGACCUGGCCCAAAACGACGUCGUUUUGGCCAGGUCAUUUAAAAAAAUUUCCUGGGCCAAAACGACGCCGUUUUGCUCGUAUGUUUUGAAAAAAAAGAAGCGCGCAGCUUCUUCUUCCUCUUCCUGCAGUGCCGAGCUUCGUUCAGGAUUUUUGUCGAACACUUGGCGUGCGACUCCGACCCCGACGACCCCGACGACCCCAGCUCCAAGAGGUCGCGUAUGGGAGCUUCAAGGUUGUUUCCAUGGUUUCCAAGGGGUCGUGCGACCCCGACGACCCCACUGUGGAUCCGCCCCUGUCUACGGGAUGUCAUCAGAGAUAUGAUCAACGCAAGGUGGGUGCCUCGUCAAAACCUCAUUAGGUAGCAAAAACCCUAUGGGAAAAAUGCUCCUAAUCAUAGGGAAAAAGAGUACAUUAAGAUUAAGUAAGUAUACUUCAAGAUACUCCCCUUGAGUUUGACACAAUUCCAAAGAGAAUUAGCAAUGUUACAACUCAGAAAGUUUACGCAUACCAAUUCCUUGAACAAGCUUCUGAAAUGUCACAUUCGGUUGUGAUUUGGUGAAGAGGUUGGCUAGAUUGUCUUGUGAACGGAUUUGUGUGACUUCAAUCUUCUGAUGCUCUUGCUGUUGAUGUGAGAAGAAGAACUUAGGCGCAAUAUGCUUGGUGUUGUCUCUUUUGAUGUAACGCUUCUUGAGCUGUUCGAUGCAUGCUGCGUUGUUUUCAUAGAUCGUCGUCUAGACAUCAAUGACAGGGUAAAGAUCGCAGGAGCUUCGAAUAUAGCCCACAACUGCUCUCAACCAAAAGCAUUCCCGAUUUGCUUCGUGUAAGGCGAGAAUUUCAGCAUGGUUAGACGAAGUGGCAACUAAGGUCUGUUUAGUUUACCUCUAAGAGAUUGUGGUGCCUCCAACGGAAAAGACAUAGCCCGUUUAAGAAUGCGCAUUUUGCAGAUCAAAUAAGUAUCCUGCGUCGGUAUAACCAACAAGGCGAGAAUCGACUCGAGAUAAGGGGGUGAGGCAUCAUUCAAGGAUCUAUAGGGAUAUAAUAAAUUCAGAUAUGUAGUACGUUUAAGGUAGCGGAAAAUCUCUUUAACACUAGUCUAGUGUCUACAUGUUGGUACAUUAGUGUAUCUUGCCAAAAAAUUAACAGCAAAAGAGAUGUCGAGUCUAGUGCAUUGAUCUAAGUACAAUAAAGCGCCUAUUGCAUUUAAAUAAGGAACUUCAGGCUCCAAAAUCUUUUCAUCAUCCCCUUUCAGACAUAAGGGAUCUCGUUUUGCAUUUAGCGAUCGAACGACCAUAGAAGUACUCAAAGGCUUCGCUUUAUCCUUGUUAAAGCGGCGCAACACCUUCUGGGUGUAGCUCGAUUUAUGUACUAAAAUUCCACCCAAACGGUGCUCUAUCUCGAGACCGAGACAGUAUCGAGUAUUUCCUAGAUCUUUCACCUCAAAUUCCGACUUCAGGUGCGCAACAGUUCUCGCUAGCUCUUCAAGAGUUCCAAUGAGAUUCAUGUCAUCGACAUAUACUGCAAUUAUCGCAAAAUCGGGAUGUGACUUCUUAAUGAACACACAAAGGUAUAAUUCGUUGUUCACAUAUCCUUGACUAGUCAAACACUCACUCAAACGUUUAUACCACAUUUUUCCGGAUUGCUUCAAACCAUAGAGUGAACGCCUCAGCUAAAUUGAGAGCGUGUUUCGAGGUUUGGAAAUAUUUGAUCCAGUCAAUGUAAGUCAUUCGGGAACUUUCAUAUAAAUUUUCAUAUCAAGAUCCCAAAAGAGAUACGCAGUUACUACAUCCAUCAGAUGUAUACUCAGUUUUUCGGAAACUCCCAAACUGAUAAAGUAGUGAAAAGUAAUCACAUCUAUAACGGGUGAAUAAGUUUCGUCAUAGUUAAUCUUAGAGCGUUGUGAGAAGCCUUGCGCAACAAGACGAGCUUUGUAACGUAUAAUUUUGUUCUUGUCAUUAUUCUUCCGAACAAAAACCCACUUGUAGCCAAUGAGCUUCAUAUGUGGAGGAGUAGGAGCUACAGGUCCAAACACCUUACGUUUUGCAAGCGAAUCGAGUUCGACUUGGAUUGCUUGUUUUCAGUUUGACCAAUCGGUUCUACAUCGACAUUCAUCAACAGAACAAGGUUCAAUGUCAUUGCUCAACAUGAUCUUAAUAGCUACUACAUAUACUAAUGUAUCGUCGACGAUCAUCUCAUUUCUACACCAAACAUCAUCCAAGCUGGCAUAACGGAGUGAAAUCUCAUGAUUCUCAGGAGGUGGAUUCGUUUUUUCAAGGACGCUUCCCUAAUCUAGAAUUUCCUCGUAAGUUGGAUAAAAUGAGUAGGCGACAGUUGGAUUCACGGUAAGUUCUUCAGGUCCAUGUGCCUUAGGUUUCCUUUUCCAGGGGUGUGAAUCCUUUGAACCAAAUGGUCUACCAUGCUUUUGUGUAGGGGUAGAUGAUUGGCUAGCCAUUAAUGUACUUUUGGUACAUCCAUCUUUGCAAGCACAUUUGCAGUUGGAAUAUGUGAUCUUGUCACUCGCGCUAGAUCGGUGAAAGCAUCUGGCAUGCUUUGAGCUAUGCUCUGGAGAUCUAAUAUGUGUUGCACUUCAGUCUGAGAUUGAGUGGUGCAGAGAUUUAAAUGAGACAAAGUGGGAGUCGUCCAUAACAAUUCGCGUCAUUUUUCAGGAACGUUGACGUUCUUAUCUCCCCCUAAUGACGGGAAUACUAUCUCAUAGAAGUGACAAUCCGCAAAACGAGCGGUAAACAGAUUGUCUGUCAAAGGUUCUAAGUAAUGAAUAAUCGAAUGAGAAUCAUAUCCGAUAUAGAUUCCCAUUAUUCGUUGAGGCUCCAUUUUUGUACGUAAGGGUGACGAAAUCGGCACAUAGACCACACAACAAAAAACACGCAAAUGUGAUAUGUCAUGUUCGUAUCUGAUAACCAACUGAAAUACGCUAUAUGGCUGGGUCAUAACAGGCCUCAGGCGAACCAACAUGGUUGUGUGCAAUAUUGCAUGGCCCCAAGCAGCGAUCGGGAACUUAGUACGUAUGACCCACGAUCGAGCAAUCAUUUGUAAACGCUUAAUGAAUGCCUCUGCCAAGCCGUUCUAGGUGUGAACAUGGGGUACUGGAUGUUCAACUUCAACCCCAACCAACAUGUAAUAGUUAUCAAAAUUUUUAGAUGUGAAUUCUUCAGUAUUAUCAAAUCGAAUUGAUUUGAUCAAAUAAUCAGGGUGGUAAGCCCCGAGCUUGAUAACCUAAGCCAACAGUUGGGAGAAUGCAGCGUUCCUUGUAGACAACAAGCACACGUGUGACCAACGUGUGGAAACGCCAACCAAAAUCAUAAAAUAUCUAAAUGGUCUGUAUGGAGGGCGAAUCGGUCCACAAAUGUCCUCCUAAAUCCUUUGUAGAAAAUAGGAAGAUUUAAACAAUUUUGUCAUAAGAAGGCUUAAUAAUAAGCUUUCCCAUAGAAUAGGUUUGACAUGCGAUUCCUUGAAUCGAACCUAAACGUUGGGUUAGUAUAUGCCCGUGUGAUGAUUUGAGGAUAUGGCACAUCACUAUUCGUCUAGGGUGUCCCAAACGAUCAUGUCAAAGUGUAAUUUCGUGUGCGGUCCCAGAGAUAGGAUCGGUCACAUAGUGGCUUUCUAUAGGGCGUAUAAUCGUAGUAUACAAACCACUUGGGAUACGCUCCAUCUUCUCUAGAAUAUGCUUCUGACCAUAUUCGUAAGAAGUUAUGCACAGAAAUUCAACUCUGUUUUCUACAUAGGUUUCAGCGUGGUAAUUAUUAUCUCUAAUGUCCUUGAAACUCAACAACUUUCUUCCGGAACGUGGAGAAUAGAGUGCCUCAUCAAUGGUCAAAAUUGUACCAUUGGACAACAUUAUACGUGCCUUACUGUAUCCUUUGAUCAGGUUGGUUGGGCCUGAGAUGGUUGUCAGAGGUGCAUUCUUAGAGCAAGUCCACCCCUAAGGACUUUGCGUCAGCACCCAACGCAUUUAUCCACUCAAGUGAACAGUAAUAUACUGGAGUGAACAGUAAUAUACUAGAGUGAACAGUAAUAGGCCAAGGCAUCUCCACCCCUAAAAAAAUGCGCUGGCACCCAGCGCAUUUAUUUGGUGUGUUUUUUUUUUUUUUUAAGUUUAUUUUAGAUAAGAUUUUUAACCAACUUCAGAUAAAAUUUCAAAUAAACUUAAAAAAAAAUACACACUAAAAUAAAAUUACAUACUCAUCAAAUAAACUAUAAAAAAAACACACUAAAAUGAAAUUACAUAAACUCAUCAAAUACACUUUAUUCUUCAACCACAAGUUUUUUGGUAUUUUUUUUUCACACAAAAAGUAUAUGAAAACUUUGGUAGAAAGUGUAGAAAAUAUUGAAAUAUGGUGUAAGGUGGAAGGUGAGAGUUAGGUAUUUAUAGAAAAAAUAAAUAUUUUUUUUAAUAUUUUUUGUAUUUUUUAAUAUUUUUUCUGUAUUUUUUAAUAAAUUUUAAUUUAGUUAAUUAACGUGGACCGUUGAUUUGUGAUCGGAUAGUCUAUUUUAAAAGUAAAAUUUAAAUUUUUUUUACCGUUGGAAAUCCAACAGUCUAGAAAAACUAGCCGUUGGAAAUCCAACGGCUAUGAGCAUGCCACGUCACUGAUGGGAUCCAGAGCACAAGUGGGCUGACAACCCCUCUGUAGCCUUUCGGCUACUCGCGCCCAAGCACGCUUGUCGUGCACGCACCAGCCAAAUAGGUCGGCUUCUUGGUCUAUCAAAAUUGGGUUGGCCUGUUGCCUGGCAUGGGCUGGGUGCUAGGCAACUUUGUGGGCUGAAGCAAUUUGACUGAGGGCCAGGCUGUUUUUUGUGUUGGGGGCUGGGCAAAGCAAGCCUCGGUGGUCUUGCUCUUAGGUAUGAAGUUAGUGAAAUAGAUAUGUUCACGCAAAACAGUAUGCGUGGUUACACUAUCUGCUUGACAACCAACUUUCCCACUAGUCAUACCUAGAAUAAAAAUUAAUUUGAAUUGGUCACAUGCAUAAAGUUCUUAAAACAAAUAUCCAAAAACAAAUCACCAUCAAAUAAUCCAAACAUAAAGGAAAGUUGUCCAAAAUUAAACCAAAAACACAAGGGGGUUCGGCCCCUAGGUGGAAUUAUUCGGCCCCAUUGCCUAAAUUUCAACUAGAAAAUAGUUUAUGUCUAAGAUUCUAAUCUUCCAUAAGGGUAAUAACCUCUUGAAAGUUAGAAACCUUCAUCUUUGUACUUUCUGGUUCAUCCACUUGCACAACCUUCUAGGGAGCUCGGCAAACAUGGGACCAAUGGCCAUUUGAACCACAGCAAUAGCACAUGUCCUCAUCCAUGGUUUCAAGUACUUUACCCUUAUUCUUGAAGUUUAGGGUCUUGGGUGCUAGGUUAAGGCGUUUCUGGGCUCUGUUUCCUCCCUUAGAUGGGCCUUAGCUCUGUUGACCUUAACGGGGUGGCUUCUGGCUGCCCCUACCAGGUUUAUUUUGGCAUUUUGGGCAUUUGUUUGUGCUAUGGUUUGCUUCAGGCACAAUAGUCACCCUAGUAGCUCGAGUUUGAUGAUUUUUCAUUAGCAGCUGAUUCUGCUUUUCAGCUAGAAGUAAAACAUAAAUCAAAUAUGAAAACUUAGUGAACUUCUGAGCCCUAUCUUGUUGCUACAGGACAAUAUUAGUAGUAGAGAAGGUCGAAUAGGUCUUCUCCAGGAGAUCCUCUUUGGUCAAGGUCUCGUUACAUAACUUGAGAAGUGAUCGGAUUCGACAAACUUCAUAAUUAUAUUCAUUCACAGACUUAAAGUCUUGGAAGCGGAAAUGCUGCCAGUCAUGUCUUGUUUCAGGCAAGAAGAUGUCCUUUUGGUGAUCGAAACGAUCGGCCAAAGCGACCUAGAGUGCUCGUGGAUCCUUCUCAACAAAAUACUCGGUUUGCAGUGGGUCAUGAAUAUGUCUUUGAAUGAAGAUCAUGGCAAUGGUUUUCUUAGCUUCGCCAACUGAGUUAUCCAUCUCAUCUUCAAUGGUGGGACACAAAUUCUUUGCAGUGAGGUGGAGCUUCACAUCUUGGACCCACAUGAGGUAGUUUUUUCCAAUAGACCUCCAAAGUGGUAUAGUCGAGUUUGUUCAAAUUUGACAUGUUCUUAUCACAAAAUAGAUAGGCAAGAUGUGGUUAGUGUAAUGGUGAAAAAAUCAAUCCAUUCACAUUGGUUUAGAACAUUUAGGUUCUAAUAGACAUGUAUUGGUUUAAAUUCGCAUGAAAAAAAACUUCGGGUUUUCAUGGGUGAUGUUUUUAAGAAAAACUUCAGGUUUUCAAACAAGGCAUGUUUUUAGAAACUUCAUGUUUCGAAAUAAUUAUGAAUUUCAUGUUCAUAUGUUCCUGUAGAUAAACACAAAUAUAUAUAGAGAAAUAUGUAACAAGAAAAUAUGCAAAUAGAACUUCAUGUCUAUAAAUUAUAAUAAAAUUAAUUAUUUGGACUUUGGGCCAAAUUUGAAUGUGUGGGUGAAAAUUUAUAAAACCCAAAUUGUCUAAAAAAUUAAACAAUUAUUCGGGGUCCAAAAACAGGGACCAUAAACCCAUAGGUGGGUUGAGUGAAUUUGUACCGUGGUCCAGGCCCAAAAAUUGGGCUGGGGUUAGGCACCGACUAAUCGGUCCCCAAAAUAAAUUUGGGUUGUGGGCCCAGUAGCGGCAAGGGGUUGCAAGAAGACCGGGCCUAAAGCAUAGGACCAAACAGGGUGCUGAUCAGGUGUAGUGGGAAACAAGCUAGGGCUGUAAGCCCACUCAAAGGCAUGCUCAUGUGCUUCGCGGUAUAGUGCACCGGUGUUCCAACUUCAAGUUGGGAUCACAUGCAUGCGGGCGUAAGGACACCAGGGCCCCUACGGGCUAGUGUCACACUUGAGUCGAGCCAUGGUCUUGGGCCGCAUCUGUGAGCCCAGUCACGAAAAAAAAUAUUUUUUUUUCAUAUGCCGAGAGGGCCAGCCCAAUUGGGCUUAGGUUGCAACAAAAGGAACACCCCAGCUUCGCUGGGUGUGGUCACCAAGGACGAAGGUCGGCGCCGUCGUUUUAGGCUGUCGUGUUUUGAUCAAAAGAACUCGAAACGAGUUGUGAUGUUUGACAUGGAACCUGGAUGGUGUGAUGGAGAAGGUCUCGACAUCCAAAAACCAAAGAAAAACCUAGGAUUCGAAUUUGGGUUUUCAAAAUCCGGGGAGAUUCAUACGAAUCUCGGCCAAAAAAAGGUCGGCGACGAUUGCAGGUCGUCGGGGAUGGCAGCUGUAGUGGCUGGGCAUGGCUGCAGGCCAUGCUUGUGAUGCUGUGAAGGGUGUCGGGGUUUUUGGGCUGGGUUCUAAAGGUUUGGAGCUUCGAGCUCCUACUGUGGUUCGGGUUUGGGUUCAAAGAACCCUAGAAAUUUUUUAUUUUUUUUCUUUAUUUCCAUAUUAUAAUUCAAUGCAUAUUGAAAAAUAAUUUAAUGCAUGAGCAGAUAUUUGAUGCAAUUCAAGGCAAUAUCAAAUUCACGUAAUUCAACAAUUAUGGGGAAUGUUCAUGCCAUCAGGGCUGCAAAAAUAUCGAGAUAAAAACCGUUGUUUUGGAAGAACCUGAUUGCGUGAUUAUAUGGAUGAACUGGUUUGAUGUAGAAAACUUCCAUGUCAGAUUCCUAAGCACAACAGUAGGAGCGUGCUAAUAACGUGUUGUGGCCUAUAUUUAACUGACAAUGGAAGGGGGCCAUAGGCACAGAGAGAGAAUAGAGAGAGAUGUGUUUGUAGGAUUGUGUAGAGGAAUGUGUGUGUUAUUUCCCCUACACAGUGCCUUUAUUUAUAGUAAUAUGAGAAAGGAGAAAUCAUUCUCCUCCAAGGAGUACAAGUUCUGAUAGGGAAGAAUAACUAUAAUCAAAUCUAAUCUAGGAUUUACACAAUCACACUUAAAUAAAAAGUUUAUAAAAUUAUACGCUUUACAAGCGUGUUUUAAUUUUAAUUUUCUUAGUCAAUCAAUGGAGUAGUGGUGCUUCAAAUAAUAAUAAAGUUCAUGCUAAAAAAAUGUAGAUUCAUUUCUUUAUUUCAAGAUAAAUAAAAUUGAAAAUGGUGUUGGCUGAUUUAGGCUGCUAAGAAUCAAAAUCAUGUAUUUUAAAACCCUUGAAUUAGAAACAUAAACUUGAUGUCAAACUCAAAUUCACCAAUGGACAUCAAUGGUAGAGUACAUUAAAUAAUUGGGAGUUUUAACGAAACACUCCCGGUACUGUUCACUUUUAACGAAAAACCAUAUUUUUACCUUUUCCUGAUACCAUUCACUAUACCUUUAUUUGUCAUUUUUCAUUAAUACUAAAGUUUUUUUAGACUUUUCGUUUGUUUUCCUUAAAUAAUUUCCAAAUAGACAUUGUACAACUUACAAACAAGUCCUAGAAAGGGCUAGCGUACAAAAGGAUGCCACUUAUGAAAACAAAAUAUGAGUAAUAGUUCAUCUCUACAAUGUUUACAAGGUUUCAACUAAAAAAAAAUUAUCUUCAGAGACCCAACAGUAGCUAGUAGAGAAAAUUCUAGAAGCCUAGGUGAGGAAUGACCUGUCGCUAAUGCCCCAAAGGCACCCAAUCACCCACACUGCCAAUUUAACACCACAAAAUAGAACUUGUUCACCCCUAGAUCAUACAUGUACAGACUUUCAAAAGCCCCAAAAAUAAACAAAGUUAAACCUCAAACAUAUAACAUCAUAAUACCCAUUACAAAACUAAAAUUUAUCACUAUUUUUUGCUCAAAAUUUAUCACUAUUUAACCUACCAUCCAAUUGAAGCAGCCAAACCUCACAACUAUAUGCACCACCACACAGGGACAAGAAAGAAUAUAGUUCCAAUGCCGGCAAAUGAAGACAUGAAUCGAAAACCAAAGAAAGAGGCGAGGCAAAGCUCCGCGUGGAAACCAAAGUCUUAGUUCCAUACACCUUCAGCUGAAUGAGGGACGAUUCGUUCUAAGUGUGGGUAGUAGACACCAGAGCUUGGUCAGACUUCUUAAUCGAAUGUGGCCAUUUUGACGGCAAAUGAGUCUUGAGGACUGGAUUUGUAGUAUGGGUUAGAUAUUUGUGGUUCAUUUGGGGCUAAUUAGGAUCUGGUGCACAAUAGCACGAAUAGGGGGAAUUAAGAGGAUAGCCAAAAGAGGGGAAGUCAAGUUCCCGAAUUGAGACGUAGCUCAAGCCCACAACCACCAUGAAUCGGGAUUGAGGCAAAUCAUCAUCUUUGGAGAGAUGGGGCAAGCUACCAUCAUGGGAGAGAUGAAGCAAAAGAGCACUUAAGAGGAAGUGGGGAGGAGAGAGAGAGAAGGAGAAAGGUAGAUGAAGAAACGGGAGGGGCAAUUGUUAUACACCAAUGACAUCUGAUGCACUCCCAAAACACGCACAUUCAUUUCAAUUCUCUAGGAUUCAUUGGAGGCUGGCGUCUCCUUUAGAGAAUCAUGUCGUACGUUUCUUGCAAUUGUUAUACACCAAUGAUAUGUCAUCAUCUCAUGCACUCAAAGCUACUCUUCAUUUUGCUUGGCGUCCUUCUAGCCCGUGGCGUUUGGUGCAUUUGGGAAAGGUCUAUUACGACAUUCACUUUGAGACUGAAGAAGAUAUGCCCCGAGUUUGGAGAGGAGGAACCUGUACAUUCCCAACUAGUAUUUUCAUAUUAUCGCAACGAAAGCUGGUUUAUAAUCUUAGUGAAACUCUUGCCCAUACUCAAUCUCAGGUUUGGGUACGUAUCCAUGGUCUCAGCCAGAAAUAUACUGGGGCACACGCGCACACAAAACACCCUCGCGACACCUAAUGGAAAUAGCGAGAGGUGUAGGCACUCCUCUUCAAUUGGAUAGGUCUACUAAAGAUUGAGUUUAUGGCUACUAUGCCAGAAUUCUUGUGGAUAUGGAACGAGCAAUCGAAAAGAUUCUGAUGCAUUCUCGAAUUUAAGUAUUGUUCCUCGAUCUUCCGAGUAAUCUUCCUUCUUCUCUCAUGUGUGACAAUUUAACAAUGGAUUUGCUCAGUCAUCAACAGUUGAAUAAACAAGACAAUUGCAAGUAGGUUCCAUCUGAAGGUCGCAAACGAAGUCAUCUAGGUGAGAAGAAUCGUGAUCCUUCUCCUAUUGGUCUGAUCAAACCCUAAAUAUUGUCAACCAAAUUCUCGAGGAUGUGAUCAACGAAGAAUUAAAACGCAUUGUUGUUGUGGUGGUCACAGAGAAGGAGGAUGUUGUGAUUACAGAUAUUGAAAAAGAUGAUGAUCAAGCUCGUUAGAAAGUUCUUUUAAAAUGACUGAAAGUGCUUUGAGAUGAAAUGUUUCUGGUUGAAUUGCUUCUUGCAAAAAGCACCACUUAUGUGCUUCUUGCAACAAACAUUUCAAGUGUUUUCUUUCAAAAUUUACUUGUACUUUUAUUAAAAUUAAUUCCAAAAAUAUUUUCAAUAAGACUGCAUUCAAUUAUUUUAAAAUAUUUUUCAAACGAGCUAUUAGUUAUUGAAUAGGUUUCCCAUGUUGGCCGUGUUAGUGACGAUGGGCCUUAACUAGGUUUCCCGUCAAAGCAGAACCGAUGACCUCAAGAAAUACAUAUGUGGGAGUUCAAACUCAAAUUGAGGGCUCCAAUUCUUUGCUUGCUUUCCACUAGACCAACAUUUCUCCAUAAGUGAAUAUGGCUAUAAUAAACAUCAACUUGGCUACCGCUUAUGUAGAACAUAAUAUAUUGUGAAAUACCUCAUGUAUUUAAAAAUAAAUAAAAAAUUGGUUACUAUUUUUACAUAUAUUUAAUACAUUUAUUAUCUAACGGUUAUAUAUAAUUCAUGUGAAUAUAUGUUUUUUGUACAAUCAAAAUGUGACCAUUGAAAUGUCGCAUUGUUGCUAAUACAACUUUGAUCUUGGCCCAAAUGGAGUUGGUUUAACUUUCCACAAAAUGAAAUCCAAACGUAACCCCUUACUUUCCCGCCAUCAUCUACCAUCCUCUCACACCUUUUUGCCGCCAAAUAUCUCUUUUUCCAUCUCUCUCCUUCGCUAAACGGUUUAGCCUAAACCCUCUUCUCUUCUCUCUCUCUCUCUCUCUCUGAUUCCUAGAGUCUGAAGCGGCCAUGGAAGAAAACCAAACUUCCAUGAAAUGGAACCGGCCUUCACCUGUAAUGUUCAUGAGCACCGGCGCCAAAUCUCAGAUCCAUCUCCACACCCACUAUACGGUAAAGGCUUCGCUAAUUUUCUUGGUAUACUAGACCAUGUUCUGGGAACACUUAAAAACUCUCCAUUGGAUUUUCAUAAAGAAAUUUGUCUUUUACAAAUGUGACAUUCGAGUCAUUCAAUUUCCUGGCAUUUUUUUUGCAAGUAACAUUAAAACAAAGUUACACCAUAAUUUAUUUUUAAAAAGAUUUACUUAAAUGCAGAAGGGAGAGUACAUUAUUCUAACUACAAUUUUUAUUUGCAAUAACAAAGGAGACAACUACACAUUUUAAAAGUAAACAACAACAAAACAACAAUAAAAAAACAUUUUCUCACUAAGUGAGGUCCGCUAUAUGAAUCCUAGAAUGUCAUUACGUUCUGUUCUGUGUCAUGUCUUCCGUUAGAUCUUAGUACUCUAAAUAUUUUCUUAGAGUCUUUUCCAAAGUUUUUCUAGGUCUUCCUCUACCUCUUCGGCCCUGAACUUUUAUCUCGUAAUCGCAUCUUCUAACAUAAGCAUCAGUAAGUCUUCGUUUCACAUGUCCAAACCACCAUAACCGAUUUUCUCUCAUCUUUCCUUCAAUUUUGGCUACUCCUACUUUACCUCGGAUAUUCUUAUUUCUAAUCUUAUCUUUUCUCGUGUGCCCACACAUCCAAUGAAGCAUUCUUAUCUCCACAACACCCAUUUUAUGUAUGUGUUGAUGUUUCACCGUCCAACAUUCCGUGUCAUAAAGCAUUGUCGGCCUUAUUGCCGUUCUAUAAAAUUUUACCUUGAGCUUCAGUGGUAUAUAACGGUCACAAAACACGCCGGAUGCACUAUUCCACUUCAUUCAUCUAACUUGUAUUAUAUGGUUGAGGUCUCUAUCCAACUCUCUGUUCUUUUGCAAGAUAGAUCCUAGGUAGCAAAAGCGGUCGCUCUUUAACUCAUUUGAGCCUCCGUUUGCACUGAACUUGCACUUCAUAUACUUUGUCUUUGACUGACUUAGGCGAAGACUUUUAGAUUCCAACAAUUUCUCUCCAAAGGUUAAGCUUUGCAUUUACUCCUUCCUGAGUUCAAUCUAUCAACACUAUAUCGUCUGUGAAAAGCAUACACCAAGGAAUAUCAUCUUGAAUAUGUCCCGUUAACUUAUUCAUUACCAAUGCAAAAAGGUAAGGACUUAAACAUGAGUCUUGAUGUAACCCUACAAUUAUGGGAAAGUUUUCAGUUUGUCCUUCAUGAGUUAUUACUGCAGUCCUUGCUCCAUCAUACAAAUCCUUUAUAGCUUGGAUAUAUGCUACUCGUACUCCUUUCUUCUCUAAAAUCUUCCAAAGAAUGUCUCUAAAAUCCUCCAUCAUACACACUAAAAUCCUCCAUCAUACACAUUUUAAAAGUAAAAUAAAAAAUAUUUGUCCAUGCAAUAGACAUUACAAUUACAAAAGUCGACCAUUUGUUUAAGAAAACAUCAAUGUAUCUGAUCCAAGAAAGCCUUGAGAUUCUUGUCCGAAGACCCCCCUUCACUCACAGCCUCUCUUGCCAAAUCUUUCCAUUUCUUAGCAUUCCUUCUCAUCUCUUCACCAAUCUCCCCACUUUCCAUGACCAACUCCAAACACCUCUUGAGCUCCUCACCCGUAACAAUCCCCUCCUCAUUUGGUGUCACCCUCACUCCUGUCUUCCAACUGUCCUCUAUCAACUUGGCAUUCGUCCCUUGGUCCAUCCACUGAGGAAACGCCACCAUAGGCACUCCCGAAACCAAGCUCUCCAAACUUGAAUUCCACCCACAAUGUGUGACAAAGCAACCCAACGAAGCACUUGACAGAACCUCCACUUGACCACACCACGGCAAUAUCCUCCCGAGCUCUUCCAAUUCCUCUCUGCAACUCAAUAUCUCUUCUUUCUUCGACUCAUUAUCGUCUCCCUUCUUCUCGAUUUUAUCUCUAAUAACCCACAAAAACGGACGGCCGCAAUCCAACAACCCUUUUGCGAUUUCCUCCGUUUGGGCCUUUUCCAACACACAAAUGCUUCCGAAGGAAACAUAAAUCACCGACCCUUCCGGCUUCAAGUUCAGCCACUCGAGGUACGAAGAGUCCUUUGAUUUUUGGAAAAGAUCGCCUCCAAAUGACUUGUCCAAUGGAUCCUUUCUGUCCAAGAAAGCGGACGGAAUCAAUGGCCCGACUCCAAUCAAAUUGUACUUGUCAAUUGCUUCUAAGGCUUCCGGCUCUAGUGCAUCGAACGUGUUCACUAGAAUGGUCUGGUUGGUUUCUCUCUCCAGCAGAUCCAUCUGUUCUUGAAACAAUGAGAGGACGAAAUUGUACAGAUUUGUAUCGACCAUGAAGGAGGGAAGGUCUCGGCUUGUGAGAGCUAAUGGUAAACCUGGUAAUUCUAUCGAACAUGGGACAUUGUUCGUACCAGAAUUAGUAUUAUCCCGGAUGAGAUCUUUGUAGCCGUUAAAAUAAUAGUAGUGGAUGUCGAAAACCGUGGCUGGUUGAAUCCAAAACAGCACGUUUGGGAGGUGAAGUUCAUGCGCCACUUCCGCCACCCAAGGGAGAAAUGAUGUGUAGACUAGGCAUGUGUAAGGGUGACCCUCGUUUGCACUUCAGACCAAGGAAGAAAAAAUCGAUAAUAUCGCGUCAAUAUUAUCGUUUUUUUGGAGAUCCGAAAUUUUUUUAACUAUCCAAAUAAUUUUCGUCAAAAUAUCACAAUAUUAUCGAUAAUAUCACGAUAUUUUUAAAAUUAUCGAUAAUAUCGUAAUAUAAUAUUCAAAAAUAUUUAAAAAUGUUGAAAAUCUCAACAUAUACUACACUUGAUCAAAGCCCCAAAGGCUAACCAAGACAUGCUUUUCUCACCAUGUGAAUGUGCCUUUUAUAGGCGUUCUUGGCUUGCUCACUGCCCUCGCUGGGCGAUGUGGGACUCGACCAAGGAAAAAAAAUAGGAAUUUCGGCCGAAAAUCCACACCCACUUUAAACGGCCAUAACGUUGUCAAAACGAAACAAACUCAAGCAAGAAAAAAACGAAAGUUGUAUCCCUCGAAGAGACGAAGAGAAUGGUACCUCACACGACGUCUGAAUCGUCG